This 49833-nucleotide long non-coding RNA is filed under the name Setaria viridis. The record is from RNAcentral. Lineage: Eukaryota; Viridiplantae; Streptophyta; Magnoliopsida; Poales; Poaceae.
AUACAAAAUGUCCAUGGAUCAUAAUGAUAAACAGAGAAACAAUAGACAAAUUAAUAUCUGAACAGAGAAAAAGCACAGAUUCUGAGCAAUCAGACGCAUCUGCAAAGCGAACAAGAACAAUAAAAAAAAGUUUCACAAUCAGGCACACAUCGUGGCGACACAAUGCACACGGCCACUAGGGAGCGGCUACCUACUGUAGCAUUGCCAUGGAUGCGACCGCCGCCAACGCCAUGGCCGCGACAGCCCGGUAACCUGCUCGGACGACCCCGGCGCCAUUAGCGUUGGGCGCGGGCGCGGUGGUGGCCGGCGUGUCGGGGGUGCUGUCCGUCGACGACGCGGCCGGCGGCGAGGCGGCGCUCGGCUCGCUGCCGCCGCUGGGGGACGCCGCCGCCGACGAGCGCGCGGGCGCGGGCGCGGGCGCCUUGGAAGGGGCGUCAGAGGACCGCGGCUUGAGGACGCGGAUGUUGACCUUCUGGCCGGCGGCGCAGUGGCCGGGCACGCCGCAGAUGAAGAAGCGGUGGCCGGGCCUCUUGAUGGCAAUCUUGUCGUCGCCGGAGGUGUGCGUGGCGAUGGGGGUGGAGUUGCUGCAGCUGUCGUAGGCGUCCUUCGUCACCUCCAGCACGUUGUGGAUGCCCUGGGGGUACACGAACUCUGCACGCACGCGGUCAUCGUCAUCGUCAUCGUUACAAUUCAGAACGAAAGAAAGCAGGGCGGAAAAACGUGCUCUUUUCGGUAAGUAUGAUCUUUCUCGAUGCCACGAUGAUCACGCAAAGAACAAAUAAAGAAGUGGAUGGGAUGAAGCAAAACGUGCAGCCGAAGGUACAGCUACCUGUAAAGAGAGUCGAACACUACGUUUGACACAGAUGCAGAAAAACAUGCUUGCAUGGUACUCAUGAUUGGAAAAAUUGUCAAAGUUCUUCACUUUACAACUACUAGGUUGACAGUAGUAUACCGAUAGAUGCAUGGUGGUUGAAUUGCAGGUAGAUGAUAGUUUGGCAAUGAAAUAACCCUUUGUCUGGCAUCUUCAUAAUAGCCCUAUAUGGUUGUUUAUUGUGUACUUCAUAUCGAGUAUGCGGCCUUAUUUCCAACUCCUUAAAAACCAGCCUCGAAUUAGAGAUUGCAACGCAGAAAGAAUGCUGUCAGAAACCAUUUCUCACUCCAUGGUUAAAGUUCAGGUAAUGCAUUGACAGAUGUAACAGAGACAGCAUCGUAUGCCCAUGGUGCAAUAACUAUCUACAUCAACCAGGCCAUGUGUCCAUUUCUUGGAUUCCUGGCUGGCCUUUUCUGAUUCAGAUCUCCAGUGGCCCCGUUCGGCCAGUAAAAUUGUGGAUCAUACAUAUUACGUGAAUUCCCUUUACAACUACAUAAAGCUUGCAGAUUUGAACUACUACUGUGCGAUAAGAGUAAGACACGUAAAAGCAGAGGUAAAAGGAACUAUUUACCCUAAUUCCGUUGCCAAUGCCAUGGUUAAAGCAAGACAGUUCAUCUAAACGCAACGACAAAAGAGAAGAAGGACGCGUUGUAAAAGUACUGACGGCGACAAGAGAGUGGCGUUCAUCUUUGCAUCAGUGAGCAAUGGGGGACAGCAGAUGCAUGGCGCUUGCUCAACUCAACAUAUACCUGAACCUUGAGCAAUGGUACUACAUCAGCGAAGCGCAUAGUAUUUGCAGAUAAUGUGGAUGUCGUUGUGUAGAGAUGAUACCACACAUGAAACAUGCUCCUAAAUGGCGUAUCAACUGUCAAGCGCAAGCUACGCGAGAGUAAAACUGACAGGAAGGAAACGUGUGCAGCAGUGACGAGCAAUGGACUGGACCUGACACUGAAGCUACGUAAACAUUGGCAAGAAUUAUGAACUUGUAGCAAUUCUUGAGCGAGAGAAAGGCCGAACUUGCCUAUGAUGUCUCCAACAUGGAAGUUCUUCUUCGUAGUCCAGUCGGUGUAGUUGAUGUUGCCGAGGAUGGUCCAGCCGGAGCUAUCGCCGACCUUGUAGGUGACCGCCGACGAGGUCGCCGCCAUCGCGAGCCCAAGCGUCAGCACCAGCAAACCCUUCAUGCCCAUGGCCAUUGCUGCACCUGCUCCCCUGUGUCUAAGCUACACACCCCCUCUGAUCUCCCGAAGCUAUAUAUAGCAAGAAGAGAUCGAGGAGGAGAUGCCAAGAGCAGAGGAGACGCAAGGAAUUCAGUUCCACACGCUUUGCUUGCGCCAAUGCUUCGCCGAGGAGUACGAUUUAUAGAGCCUCUUGCUCUCGUUCCCUGCAUUGACCGUUUUGCCCCUGUGUUGUGCAAACAAUAUGCUCUCUGCUUUGCUGUCUGCUCUGCUCACUCGGUGCUGGCAGGUUGCUCUCGCGCGGCGUUUUGCUCAUGUUCCUUGAGUAAAGCAAACUCAAAAGCUGGCCGUGAAUCCAAGUCUUGAUCAUGAGCCUGCUUGUGUUGUUGGGUGAGGUCUGAGGUGCCAAUGCCAUGAGUGAGUGGGCUCUGCUGGUGAGUUGGAGUUGGAUCGAGUUGGAGAGUUGGAUAUCUUUUUCGUUCCAUGGAAGCAACAACGGCAACCAUGCAUGCAGGAUUUUGUCUUUCUUUUGAUCCGUUUGGUGGAUAUAUGACAGCUUGCAGUGAGGCAGGCCUUUUUUUUUGUUUUAUCCGUUCUCUUUUCACAUGUGGUAUAUAUGAGGAGAGAGUGACUAUGAAAUAUUUUAUUCGGGUUUGCUAUGUGUUUUGUUGACUGGACUGACAUAGAGCAUAAGCAAAGAAGCUUUUACAGGAUGUCAGCCCACGAAGUACUAUAAUUAGUUAGCACUUUGAGAGUCGGAGGAAGCAAUCGAACAACGCCGUACACACGUAGCUUGUGCUUUUGUCAAGGAAAAAAACUAAAUAUUUGUUGCGAGCUCCCUUCACAAGCCUAUCAGAUAUAGUACCGAAUAUGUUCAAAGGCGUAGAAAUAGACAGUUGUAUUUAAAAAAAAUAGUUAUAAAUUUCCUGUGUUAUGUGGCUAGAUGCAGCACGCGUGGAUAUUGCACAUUAAUUACUUGCACGCAGUUGAGGGAACAUACUCCCUCCAUCCUAAAAAUAACUUGUUACUCUAGUUUUAUCCGACGUCAAAAUCUUUAACUUUGACAAAUCUUGUAGAAAAUAUGUAAAUUUUUACAAUACUAAUUAAAUACACUACCAAUAUAUAUUUCAUCAUUUUUUUAACAAACGGGUACGAAAUUGUGCCUAUUUCAUUGAUAUAGAAGAGAGAACAAGAAAACGUCGAUAACCAGCUGCGAACAAAAAGGUUACACCCGCGCGAGCCGGGAAGCCAAGUCUUGGGCUCCCGCUCGUAUCCACACCUCAGCCUCUACUCUAAUUUUGGACAGUAAGGAAUGUGCCGGCGCUUCCACCUUGCAGAAGACUCUUGAGUUCCGUUCUUUCCACACUUCCCAGAUGACUAACAGGACUAGGCUUGUACUCGCUUUUCCGAGGUAGAGUGCGACCGUCGGUGUGCUGCGACCAGUCGGUGUGCUGCGACCACCAAGCCAAAGCGGCGUCGGCCGGUUGCUAGUUGGUUUUCUUGAGGUCUGGCUGUCCAACCCAAUCCGCCACCAUACUCCAAACUCUCCUAGUGUAUCUGCAUCCAGGUGGUGUAGUACGUUGGUUUCUAAGGUCUGUCGCCAGAGAACGCAGGCUGGGUUGUGUGUCCACCCCCUCGAGGCAAGGCGCGCAUUUGUUCAGAUUCUGUUCUAAGUGGCAAGCCACGUGAAGAACUUGCAUUUUGGCGGGGCACAGGCUUUCCAAAUGGAGCUAAGUUGCGUUGAGUUCGUACUUCGCUUUGUAGGCCGAAGCUGUUGAAUACAAUCCAUCUGUUGUAACCUUCCAUGUAAUGUGAUCUUCACUCUCUUGGUCGAGGUGGAUGUUUACAUGUGAUCUUCACUCUCUUGGUCGAGGUGGAUGUUUUGGAUUAGGGGCCACGGUUCCACGAAUUCCUGAAUAUGGCGGGAGGAAAAUGUAGUUGAGAUGUUGAGGUCUCUAAUCCACGUGUUCUACAUUAAGGCGGGAGCAGCCGUUCUUUUCUUUUUUUCUUGAGACGUUGUACAUCUUUGGCGCUAUGUCUCUCGAACGGUGUGCAACCAGGCUGAGUUCCAGAAGCUCAUCUUUUCACCAUUUCCCAAGUGGAUUGUGGUGCAUGCCGCGAAUAGUAGACGGUCCGUCUCGUCGCUGGGCACGUCGGUGCCCAUCCAUGCCUUUUCCGGCGAUGCCCAUUCUUGCCAUAACCAUCCGAGCCGCAAUGCUCUCGCGAACUUUUCCAAGUUCAGGAUGCCUAGGCCGCCAUUUUCUUUCGGGAGGCAACAUCUUAUCCAAUUAAUCUUGCACUUUCCGCCGGUUAACUCCUUUUUGCCGGCCCAGAGGAAGCGCUUACGAAUUUUGUCGUGGUCUUGGAGUAUCUCUUGUGUUGUUUUAAUUGUCGUGAGCAGAUAUACCGGCUGUGAGGUUAGCACCGAUUUAGUGAGGCUCAUUCGACCCAUGGGAUAGUUAGUCUUAAUGAAAACAUUAAAUUUCUGCCUGUAAGGAAGGGAUCAGAUGCUUAAGCAUAAGGUAUGUGGAGUUCCACCUGACGUCCAUGUACUAAUCAAAUUUUCUAGGACGAACAUGCACAGCAAGGCAGAAUCUCUUAAAUGCAGCAAUGCGCUGGUUAGAAGAAUUGAUGAAAGAAAUUAUAGUUCUAAAAGCUUCAAGAUAUUGCUUAAUCUCAAUCAAGGCAGAUUUAACCAUAAGAUUAAUGAUAUGAAAAGCACAAUGCUGAUGCAAGAACACUUUACCAACAUAAGCAGAUAAUUUAGGACUCAGUUUCUCAAUAGCAUUGGAAUUAGCAGAGGCAUUAUCCAAAGUAACAGAAAACACCUUCGAAAUCAAACCAUACUCCUCAAGCACAACAGUCACACGACCAGCAAUGUUCUAGCCAUUGUGAGAUUUUUCAAUGAGUCUAAAACCAAUUAUCCUCUUCUCUAAUUUCCAAUCAACACUAACAUAAUGAGCAACCACACUAAGGUAAUCUUCCUUAGCAUUAUCAGAUCAAAUAUCAGAAGUGAUAGACACACAUGAAACACUAGUUAAUGAUUCUAUAAGCUUAGCAAGGCAAGCCUUAAAGUACUUGCUGAAAUCUCUAGUGGUGGUUUGCCUAGAGACAGCAGAGAAUCUAGGAUUAUGAGCAAGCUUAAUGUCCUCUUCAAAUGCAGCAAAUUCACCAAAGCAUAGAGAAAGAUCAAGUCUAGCAAUCAUUUGACAUAGCUGAGUACGAGCUACCUCGGAACUAUAAUCCCAGUGACGGACACUUCCGUCCGAAUUGAACUGGAGCAAAGACUGGGAAACACAAAGCUUUGACUUCCUCGCUCGGCAUUUCUCAACAUGCCGGUUUAGAUGGCUAGUGCCAAUAGUAGAUCGAGCAACACAUACAGUGCCACAAUGUAUGCACUUAGCAGAGACCCUUAUCCUCUUACCAUCGAUGUCCUUGAAGAUCUUUUCGAAGUCCGUCCAUCAUUCAGAGGUGAUGGAACGACUCCUCUUGGUGCUGCUACUCACCAUGUUUGGAUCAGCAGCAGCUGCUGCUACAUCACCAACACCAUCGUCGCCAUUAGUGAUGUCGAUUAGUUCGGGUGCGCUGCCGCUGAAGACCUCUUCCCGCGCUGCCUAUAGGUCACUCUCGUCAUCUAGACGCUGGCCCAGCAUCUGAAGCUCAUCAUUGUAGGUGUGUCCUUGGACCUCCUCCUCAUCAUCCAUCCGGUGCUCUGGUUUCUCAACAGACCGUGUUAGCCGACGCCCUCUGCACACACAAGACAAAAAGUGAGAUCAAGCAGUGACAGUACAGAUACAAGAAGCAUAGAAACUACAAGAAAACGAAAGCAACAGGGAUACUAAAAAGAAAGCAUAGAAACUACAAGAAAAACAAAGCAACAUAUGAUCCAAUACUAAUCGGAUUUGAUACAACAUCAAGUUCAAGUCACAUAAACUUUUACCUACAUUACUUUAUCCAAUUAAGCAGUGAUGCAGAGAAUGAGAUCAAGAGGGGUAAUAGGGGAUCGAGAAGCAGAGAAGGAGAUCAAGCAGGAGAUCAACGGCUUACCUGCAAAUCCGGAGCCCCAGAGUGUCCAGCGAGGUGGACAAACAACCGAGUCAUCGACUCGCCGGAGCUCUAGUCCCUAAACGGCUUCGCGAUGGCGGACGUGAUGACCUGCAGAUAGAAAAAGUUAGAAAGACCGGCCGUCACCUGCCGGAGCAAGAAGCAGAUUAGGGUUAAGGUUAGGGUUAGAGAUUGGAGCUCUUACCAAUGGUUCCGGAGCACCAGAGCGGCCAGUGAGGUCGACAAAAAAUGGAUCUAGCAAGGAGAUGACGAGAGUGGCCGGAGAGUGGAUCUAGUCAUCUAGAUCUAGAGAGGUGCAAGAGGACGAGAGAGAGGUGGAGAGCGACGAGAGUCGAGGGAGGCGACAACAGGAGAGACGAGUGGCGGGGGAGCCGGGAGGCUAGGAUUUCUGGCUGGGGUGGCGAUCGACGCUGGCUUCCAGUCAUCGGAGAGGGAGGAGACGAGAGGGCGAGAGAGGUGUGAGAGGGCGAGAGAUAGUCGAGGGAGGCAGCGAUGGGAGAGAGGAAUGGGAAGGCUAGGGUUUCUGGUCGGGGAAGGCGCCCGACGCCGGCUCAUAUACACCGUCCCCCAACAGUCGGGAAGACCUGAUCCAACGGUUGGGGAGGGGGCUGGCUGUAUCGGGCUAGCGUCAGGCCGACCCAAAAAUCGUGCUGGGCUCGAGAUGGCCCGGUGUGCUAAGGUUGUGGCCCUGGCACUGGCCCGAGCAUAGGGCCGAGCCAACCCAGGCCCUAUUGCCCUCGUUCUGGGCUGUGUUAGGGCUAGGCUUUUUAGGGUCGGGCCUCGUGCCGCCCAGCGGGUCUGGCCCAUCUGGCCAUCUAUACCUUGAGGUGAACGAAGACUCUACUUGCGGGGACGAGUGUCUUGAGCUGGCCCCCGGACCACGGCACACUCCCAAGCCCUGGAGUGUCAGCAAUGCCGAGCCUGUCGACGAGCUGAGUCGCCUUGUUGAUGUAGUCCUCAGGACCGAGGCUCCAGGAUUGCUCUUGUGUCACCGCAAAUGGGAGGAGGGCCUCCAAAUGACAUACCUUGGAGUCAAACAGCGUCUGCAUGUGGUGCUUGAGCGCUUCGGCUUGCGCACUGAACAGGGCAUGCAGUUGUGCGGCUGUCAUACUCUUGAGUUCUCCUAGCGGCAGUGGCGGCGCAAAGGCCCCAAGGUUGGAGUGGAGGACCAUCCGUGCUGGCAGAAGCGGUGGGGCUUCGUAGCCGUCGGAGCGAUGAUGGCCCGCUCUGAACUCGCCGUCCCAGCGUCAUGGCAAGCGUGUCCGUUCGCGACGGACCACAUCGUCCUCCUUGCGCCCAAGCAGCUUGCGCCCACCACGCGCAGGGUGUUCAUAGCCCUCCUCGUCGUCGUCAUCGUAGUGGCGAGCGUGCUAGGGCAUCUGGUGGCGCCCCAUCCACCAAGCCGUAGCGCCAGAUGUAGGGCCAGCGCACCGGGACGAAGUUCGCCCCAUAGUCGCCUCGUGCAGAUUGUAUGAUGCCGCUGAGUAGUCCUCCAACAUCGUCAGGUGGAUGAACACUUUGUAGCACAUUCCUUGUUGCCAGCGCUCCGGCGGGGUCUCGGAGACAAACAGAGGAGGACUUAUCCGAGGGCUUGUGUUUAAUAAAAACUGGUUUGUUGUUGUAGAUGACGAUACUUUUUCUACAAACUUAGUCAAAAUUAGACAAAUUUGAUUUAGGAUAAAAUCAAAGUGACAGGUAAUUUGGGGAUGUAAGGAGUAUUCAGCGAUUUUAUUCUUUAAAAAUAUUGUACCCAAAAACGUGCAACAACACACCGCACUGAAGAAGCGUGAAUAACGAGUCACAAGCACCAUCAUUUUUCUUCCCUUUUCAAUUAUUUACAUAUGUGUGCUGCGUGCAGAAAAUGGUACCGUGCAUUCGAUGAAAAAAAAACGUAGUGCUUGGAUCCGUUCCGUUCCGUUCCUCGGCACUACACAGCGUGUCCAGGAGUCGGAGUAGUGAGUUAUCCAAGGCAAUUACGAGCUAUGGCGUCUGCAUGUACCUGACACGGGUCCGUAAUACGAGUGCUUCUGCUGCUUCUCCUAUCUCUCUCUCUCUCUCUCUCUCUCUCUCUCCAUAACAUACAUCGAUCGCUGUUUUACCAGAAGUUCGUGUUAUUAAUUAAUGUCAACAUAUUAUUGUUGCCAGUAGGUAUUGUAUUGUGGAUUUUUUUUAAAAAAAACGUGUGGUAUUCGUUUUGCAAGUGCUCUGUUCCGUAUAUCCAUUGUGUUUCCCUGAAACUCUGACGUCUGAACACAUUCGUAUUAGGCUAUUAGCUAUGUAUAAUGUAAUCCAUCCGCCUCAAAUUAUACAUCGUUUUGACUUUCUUAGAUAAAUAGAUUUUAUUAUGCACUUAGAUAUACGCUAUAUUUAGAUGCAUAGUAAUAUCUAUGAAUUUAGAAACGCUAAAACUAACUAUAAUUUAGGAUGAAAGGAGAGUUUUGCGUAUGCAUGUUCCGUGCCAACGUACUAGUGUUAGUUAUUUGCUCGAUUUCUCAAGUUCGAUCAAUCACUGGUUAAUUACCUAGCUACCCUGUGAUUUUUGGUAGAUACAUCUAUCAUCGGUCAUACGAGCUAGAACGCAAGAAGAGUACGUAAUUAACGUUAACCUGGGCAUCGCAUCACCAAAAUCAACAUUUACAUAUAGUUCCAUGCAUCACCUCCACGAUCACCAAGAAAACCUGAUUAUAGUAAUAAAAUUACAUAUCGAUCGACCCUCCAUCAACCACCCAACACCAGCUAAGAGAAAGAGAUGGAUGAGAUCACUUAGAUGUCGAAGGUGUUCUUGCCGGUGAACUUGACCUCGAUGGGGCUGACGUUCUUGCCGAUGCUGCGGAAGUUCUGCCCCACGCCCUGCCUGCCGGCGUUGACCUUCUCCGGGUAGACGCCGUCCUUGGGGUGGAGGUACUGGACCUCGCCGUUGGGGAAGACGCGGUAGAACUGGUAGUUGAUCUUGUACUUGGAGCGCAGCCUGGUGCCGAGCGCCAGGCACUGCUCCUUGCGCGCCAGCUUCAGGAGGUUGGGCCCCUCCCGCAUGAUGGCGGCGCCGCCCGUCGGCAUCUCGAACACCUGCUCCUUGGGGGACGUCCACGUGAUCACGUAGAACUCCUCCACCUGCGCCUUCCGGAGCAGCCCGCCCGUGCUGCCGCCGAAGAUCGGGGACGGGGUGUUGGGGUCAAGCUGCGGGGGCACGAACCCCUUGGGCGCCUCCUGGGUCGCCGCCGCGGGGGCCUCCUCGGCGGCCGCGCGGAGCGGGGCCGGCCCGCGGGAGGACGACGGGAGCGCGAGCUGCGAGGACCGCGGCGCCUUCGCCGCUGGCGACCAGGCCGCGGCCAAGAGGUGGCGCGUCGCGGCGGAGGCUUGCGUGGCCAUGGCCAUCGUCGGCUUGAUUCUCGGACGAGCUGGUGCGGCUUCUUGGAGCGAAGCUAAGAGCAAGAUGGCGAGGAGAGAUGAGGAGUGGAGGGCGCGGCGCAGGCACGCAGCUAAGAGGUGAUGCUCUGCUUUGGUUGGAGACCACGGGUGGCGAAGUGGAUAAGGGGAUAUGAGGCCGGCCAAUGGGGAGUCCGGAUUUUGAUACGUCCUGAAACCGGGCAUCCACACAUGUCACGUCGGCUGCCACACGUAGCCGCUCUGGGUGUUGAAAGUUGCAGAUAUCAGAAUCUGAUCAGCGUCACUGGGAAGUCUGGGAGGAAAUUAAAGGUUAGAUGACGUAGGUAUAUGCAUGUACUACAAAAUCUAGCCUGUACAGUAUAUUCUUUUGAUGCGACUAUGCAAGAACCAUCACUUGUAACUGAACACAGAGCUUAUGUUAUUCUUCUGAUGAGUUGAUCAGUAUUCCUUCGGAAAAAAAAAUGAGCUGAUCAGCAGUUGAGCACUUCUUCAGUUCUUUGCAGGGGUAACAUGAGAGUGAGAUUUUUUUUUUGAUAGGGGGGUAACUGAGGGAUGAUAAGGUAAGCCCUUGACUCCGGAGUAUAUUAGUAUAACUAUAAAAAAUCGAACAGGCGCGUGACACAAAAAGCGUGCAGUUUCUUAGCAGCAACGGUAAUUACUGGAUUGGGCCGGCCCAAACGAGAGAGUUCUAUCCGCUCGACAGAAUCCACCGGCCCACGAAGACGUCCACGCAUAUGACAAGUAUGCUUGGGUUUUUUUUUUCAUAUUUAUUAGAAGCACUUUUACUCCCUUCACAAAUCAAAUUCCUUCCCCUUCAUCUUCCUCGCAAAAUAACAACUAUCAAGCAUAUUCCACACUUCUACAGUUCUACUGCAUACAACCACGGACUCACGGAGUUAGAUUUUGUUUCGUUGUGUUUUCCUAUUUUUUUGCGAUUGCAAUAUAUUCUGCAUGUCCAUAAAGACGAAGAGGGACGGGGAAAAUGCAAUUCGUGCUGCCAUUACAAUUUACAAGCCUCUUUUAUCUAGUGGUACUUUACCGUACGUGUCUUAUUCAUGCAUACCACACUUGCAAGGUUAAAAGUAGACAUAUUGAUGGAGUUUCUUGUCGUCUCUAAAAGAAUCACAUUUCACAACUGCACAAUAAGCACUUCCGUAUAAUCCUCCUGAAAAUCGAUCAAAAUAAACGCCGGGGCAAUUUAUAAUAUCCUAUGGUAAAACCUAGUGAAUGCAAGCAAAACCAGGAACCGUUUGUAAAUGGAUCCAGUUACUCGGCCUCGUUGGCUGCCAACCUUCCAAUUCUGCUGUGGCACGGCCGUGCCGCCGUCUCCCCCGGCCAGCCGAGCCAGCCACCGCCGCCGUCCCGAGUGCACCUGCGGUGCCGCCACCAGCGAGGCCUCCCCAUCUUCUUCCUCGCCGCGCCGCUCCGUGCCUCCGUCAGCCCGAACGCGGCUCCCCAUCGGCGCGCAAGUGUGUCCGGCCUAGACACGUCAUCACAUUUUCCGCGCCAUCUGAUCGGGAUCAGUUUUAGGAAAGGAACCCCGACAUGCUUGACAGGAAAUAGCAAUAGCACGGCCACGGGCAAGGCAACCAAGUUCUAGUGGCCCUUUUUGCCGGGCAUGACUACCUGAAGGCGAUAAAUCUGCGACCAUCGCCUCAAGAAACGCAUCCUCGAUGAGUUGCAUGUCGGCCCAAUUAAUUAGACUGCUUCAAUGUGGCGCCCCUUGUUUCAAAGAGAGGAGGACGGGUUAUUCACAUUUAAUUUGAUGGUCAGAGGCGAAUUGAAAGCUAAGCAGUGGUAAUUAAGACCCCCGGGUGAAAAUAGGGAUGUCUCCUACGUUACCCAUAAUAUGUGGAAGUAUCGACGUAAUUUCAUAGAGUCAUUCGAUCUGAAUGCUACAUGAAGAACAUAAGCCAGAUGACGGAACGCGGAGACCUAGGAUGUAGAAGAUCAUAACAUGAGCGAUUCGGCAGAUUUGGAUUCCUUUUCUAUAUAUCCACUCAUGUGGUACUUCAUCAUACGAUUCAUAUAAGAUCCAUCUGUCUAGAGAUCGUCAUAUACAUCUAGAAAGCCGUAUGCUUUGGAAGAAGCUUGUACAGUUUGGGAAGGGGUUUUUUGAGAAAAAAGAAGAAUCUACUUCAACCGAUAUGCCCUUAGGCACGGCCAUACAUAACAUAGAAAUCACACGUGGAAGGGGUGGGCAAUUAGCUAGAGCAGCAGGUGCUGUAGCGAAACUGAUUGCAAAAGAGGGUAAAUUGGCCACUUUAAGAUUACCAUCUGGGGAGGUCCGUUUGGUAUCCCAAAACUGCUUAGCAACAGUCGGACAAGUGGGUAAUGUUGGGGUGAACCAAAAAAGUUUGGGUAGAGCCGGAUCUAAGUGUUGGCUAGGUAAACGCCCCGUAGUAAGAGGGGUAGUUAUGAACCCUGUGGACCACCCCUUUCUUUUACCUAUUUCUCUGGGCAAUCUCUUAUUAACAACUUCUUUCCAACUAGUUUCACUAUAAAUAAGAUAAUACAAUAACAGUAAGAAUAUUUUCAACACAAAAGUUCUCUCAAACAAGAGAAAGAAACAUACCUUUUUCAUACAUAUUUAGAAUAUGUUCCCUAUGCUAACUGGGUUCAUUAGUUAUGGUCAACAAACAAUACGCGCCGCAAGAUACAUUGGUCAAGGUUUCAUAAUUACCUUAUCCCACGGUAAUUAUGAAACUAAAAUACCCUAUAGGGCUAAGCGGAACGAAAAGGGUUUUCCAUAAGAUGGUAAAUGAAAACGAUUAGCCCCACACGAGGUUUGGGAAUAAGUGAUUGUCUGAUAAUGAGCAAGGAAUAUACGUCUUUCUGCUAAAGAGCAUCUAUUAAACUCAUAAUUCAUUAGAUCCUUGUUAGCAAUGUCAACUAGGUAUCAUAAGUAAAUGGAUCCCGGUUGUUCAAUCCUUUGAUAACCAAGGUCAUUCUUUGCUAAAGAGAAAUGAUCACUAUGGGUCAGACUCAAUAGAAUUGGAUCCAUUCCAAAUAGCGAGAAUUAGGAUUCUUGAUCCCUCUCAAUCUCUCUUUCAAUUCGAGGAUCCAGAGAGGUGUUUUCAUAGUCAUCUCCGAAUAUUUGCCAUCUCCGAAUAUUUGCCAUCUCCGAAUAUUUUCGAUUUCAUUUUUCUAUGAUAUGUCUUUCUAUAUGAAAAUUGGUUAUUUACGAUGUACGAUGAUCCCUGUUAAGCAUCCAUGGCUGAAUGGUUAAAGCGCCCAACUCAUAAUUGGUAAAUUUGCGGGUUCAAUUCCUGCUGGAUGCACGCGAACGGGAACGUUCCAUAAGUCUAUUGGAACUGGCUCUCUAUCUAUGGAAUCUCAUCCAUCAUCCAUACAUAACGAAUUGGUAUGGUAUAUUCAUACCAUAACAUAAGAACAAUAAGAACUCGAAUUCUUAUCGAUACUGGAACUCAGAGCAUAGGAGGGAAAGUCGAUUUAUGGAUGGAAUCAAAUACGCAGUAUUUACAGAAAAGAGUCUUCGUUUAUUGGGAAAGAAUCAAUAUACUUCUAAUGUCGAAUCGGGAUUCACUAAGACAGAAAUAAAGCAUUGGGUCGAACUCUUCUUUGGUGUUAAGGUAGUAGCUGUGAAUAGCCAUCGACUACCCGGAAAGGGUAGAAGAAUGGGACCUAUUCUGGGACAUACAAUGCAUUACAGACGUAUGAUCAUUACCCUUCAACCGGGUUAUUCUAUUCCACUUCUAGAUAGAGAAACGAACUAAAGGAGAAUACUUAAUAAUACGGCGAAACAUUUAUACAAAACACCUAUCCCGAGCACACGCAAGGGAACCGUAGACAGGCAAGUGAAAUCCAAUCCACGAAAUAAAUUGAUCCAUGGACGGCACCGUUGUGGUAAAGGUCGUAAUGCCAGAGGAAUCAUUACCGCAAGGCAUAGAGGGGGGGGUCAUAAGCGCCUAUACCGUAAAAUCGAUUUUCGACGGAAUCAAAAAGACAUAUCUGGUAGAAUCGUAACCAUAGAAUACGACCCUAAUCGAAAUGCAUACAUUUGUCUCAUACACUAUGGGGAUGGUGAGAAGAGAUAUAUUUUACAUCCCAGAGGGGCUAUAAUUGGAGAUACUAUUGUUUCUGGUACAAAAGUUCCUAUAUCAAUGGGAAAUGCCCUACCUUUGAGUGCGGUUUGAACUAUUGAUUUACAACCCAAAAUCACCAUUCCUUUUGGUUCGCACAACCAAAAAAUUAUUCUGAAGGUCUACAGGAAGAUAAAAAAAUACGGAAUUGUAUCAAGAACUAUAUACAACAGAAUAGGAAAAAGGCUCGAAUAGAAAAAUAGAAUCAGACUCAAGUUCUGAAGUAAUUACACAUAUAGAAAUCAAAAGAAAUUGAUACAAUCCACCGUCAUAAUCCAUAUUGGAUUCCCCAAUUUAUUAAAGAAAAGGGAGCAAUCGAAGAAUUAGAGAAAGAUCUCCAAAAGGAAGUUAAUUCUGUAAACCAGAGACUUAAUAUUGCUAUCGAAAAGGUUAAAGAACCUUAUAGACAACCUAAUAUUCUUGCAGAAUAUAUAGCUUUCCAAUUAAAAAAUAGAGUUUCAUUCCGAAAAGCAAUGAAAAAAGCCAUUGAAUUAACUAAAAAAGCAGACAUAAAGGGAGUAAAAAUCAAAAUUGCGGGUCGUCUAGCAGGGAAAGAAAUUGCACGUGCCGAAUGCAUCAAAAAGGGCAGACUGCCCCUACAAACAAUUCGCGCUAAAAUUGAUUAUUGCUGCUAUCCAAUUCGAACUAUCUAUGGAGUAUUAGGUGUAAAAAUUUGGAUAUUCGUAGAAGAAGAAUAACUAACCCAGUCUUCCCAUUCUGCUCGUUGAUAGAAUAAGACAAGAACUUCUUUUUCCCAAAAUCCCUAAAAAAAGAAGAAAUUAUAUCUCUUUCUAUAAGAUUUAAUGAAAAUUGAUAAAUCUUUUAAUAUAAUUGCUAUGCUUAGUGUGUGACUCGUUAGUUUUUUCUUUAGGGUCAAAAAUGAGGAUUUAUAAAAAAAAAUGGGCUGAACCCUACUAAAAAUAGAAAAAAACUUAGUAAUUCUAGAAAAUUAACUAAUAACCAACCUAUUGCUUCGUAUUGUCGAGAUCCUAACUAAGAACCAGUCACUAUGUGAAUAAAUACAUCUAUAAAAAAUGAGUAGAUCUAUCAUAUAGUUGUAGCAACUGCAUUUUUUUCUCUACAAAAGAAACCUGAUUUUAGGCUGUGAAGCAAAACUAAAGGGAUGUGGAUAAAAGGAGGGAUGAUAGAUAGAAGGAAGAAGAAUAAGAAAGAUAUAGGAUUCCAAUGUGUAUGGUCUAUGAAUUACAUCAUAAAAAAAAAGCAAUGUGAUAAAGCAUCAAUAUAAUAAAAUAAUAAAAAAAGAGAGAAUUCGAAAUCGUAACUUUUGAAAUAACAAAUCAAAAUUUAAAGAAAUAAAAAAGAGCAGCCCGCGUUAAUAAAACUGAGAAAAUUGACUCGGAAAGAAAUUUUUUGGAAGCUCCAUUGCAGGAUUCAAACCUAACCAUUAAAGGAGAAGCAGUGGGAACGAGAAAACCUAUGACGGCAUCGGAUUUUAUUGAAAAGAAUCCUAACACUUCAUUGGGUGGGAUGGCGGAACAAACCAAAAAAGUGGCUUUAUUUGAUAAGAUUCUAAAUUAACAAAUAAGACAGGAAAGAGUAAAUAUUCGCCCGCGAAAUCCUUAUUGGAUUAGAAUACUUUACCACGAUUCAAUAAGAAUAAAAAUAAGGAGAUUCCAAAAUAUUAUGGAAUUAGAGAAAUUCGCACGCUUUCUCAUUUAAUUCGCGAGGAGCUGGAUGAGAAGAAACUCUCAUGUCCAGUUUUGCAGUAGAGAUGGAACUAAGAAAGAACCGUCGACUAUAACCCCAAAAGAACUAGAUUUCGUAAACAACAUAGAGGAAGAAUGAAGGGAAAAUCCUGCCGAGGCAAUCGUAUUUGUUUUGGUAGAUAUGCUCUUCAAGUACUUGAACCCGCUUGGAUCACCGCAAGACAGAUAGAAGCAGGACGAAGAGCAAUGACACGAUAUGCACGUCGUGGUGGAAAAAUAUGGGUGCGUAUAUUUCCCGACAAACCGGUUACAAUGAGACCCACAGAAACACGUAUGGGCUCGGGAAAGGGAUCCCCCGAAUAUUGGGUAGCCGUUGUUAAACCAGGUAGAAUACUUUAUGAAAUGAGCGGAGUAUCCGAAACUGUAGCUAGAGCAGCUAUCUCUAUAGCUGCCAGUAAAAUGCCCAUACGAAGUCAAUUUCUUCGAUUAGAGAUAUAGAACCCCAAAAAGGAGUAUUUAAGAUAAAAAACCCCAGGUUUUUCUUUCUAGAAAGACAAUAUUUCUUUCAUCCUUUUGCAUUGAAAUAACAAAUUGAAAUCAAAAUAAUAUGAUUCAACCUCAGACCCUUUUAAAUGUAGCAGAUAACAGUGGAGCUAGAAAAUUGAUGUGUAUUCGAGUCAUAGGAGCCGCUGGUAAUCAGCGAUAUGCUCGUAUUGGUGAUGUUAUUGUUGCUGUAAUCAAAGACGCAGUGCCCCAAAUGCCUCUAGAAAGAUCCGAAGUAAUUCGAGCUGUAAUUGUACGUACAUGUAAAGAAUUCAAAUGCGAAGAUGGUAUAAUAAUACGCUAUGAUGACAAUGCAGCAGUUAUCAUUGAUCAAAAAGGAAAUCCAAAAGGAACUCGAGUUUUUGGCGCGAUUGCCGAAGAAUUGAGAGAAUUGAAUUUUACUAAAAUAGUUUCAUUAGCUCCUGAAGUAUUAUAAACACUAGUAGACGAGAUAUAGAUCAAAGAAAAAAUUAGUAGAUUGUGUCUCACGUAUAUGCUUUAAAAUCUAAAAUUAAAAGAAAAAGGAAAACAUGUUGAUUAUAGAAAAAUUAGGAGGAACCUAGAAUUAGAGUCUUAUGGGCAAGGACACUAUUGCUGAUUUACUAACCUCUAUAAGAAACGCAGACAUGAAUAAAAAAGGAACUGUUCGAGUAGUAUCCACAAAUAUUACCGAAAACAUUGUUAAAAUACUUCUACGAGAGGGUUUUAUUGAAAGUGUUCGGAAACAUCAGGAAAGUAACAGAUAUUUCUUGGUUUCAACUUUGCGACAUCAAAAGAGAAAGACUAGAAAGGGAAUAUAUAGAACUAGAACCUCUUUAAAGCGUAUCAGCCGACCUGGCUUACGAAUUUAUGUCAACUAUCAAGGAAUUCCUAAGGUUUUGGGCGGAAUGGGAAUUGCUAUUCUUUCUACCUCUCGAGGUAUAAUGACAGAUCGAGAAGCUCGACUAAACAGAAUUGGGGGAGAAGUCUUAUGUUAUAUAUGGUAAUGGCCCCACCUAUAGUACCCGAAUUCUAUCUCGAACUUCCUAUUUUGAAAAUAAAAAUUGAAAAAUAGGAGAAAAAAAAAUAUGACAGAAAAAAAAAAACCGAGAGAAGCAAAAGUCACUUUCGAAGGUUUAGUUACGGAAGCCCUACCCAACGGAAUGUUCCGCGUUCGCCUAGAGAAUGACACCAUCAUCCUGGGCUAUAUUUCAGGAAAGAUCCGGUCUAGCUCUAUACGAAUACUGAUGGGGGAUAGGGUCAAAAUUGAAGUAAGUCGUUAUGACUCCAGCAAGGGGCGUAUAAUUUAUAGACUUCCCCAUAAGGAUUCGAAGCGUACCGAAGACUCGAAGGAUACUGAAGAUUUGAAGGAUACCAAAGAUUCAAAGGAUUAGGUUUUUCUAGGGUAAUAACUUCCAAGUUUCAAAAUUUAAGUGAAGAGACUCAUUUUUUCCAAAAGAAUAGAUUCAUAGUUUAAGAAAGGAAUACCUAUAUAUGAAAAUAAGAGCUUCCGUUCGUAAAAUUUGUACAAAAUGUCGACUGAUUCGCAGGCGUGGACGAAUUAGAGUCAUUUGUUCCAAUCCGAAGCAUAAACAAAGACAGGGGUAAUCUUUCGAAAAAGGAGCUUUUCUUUCUAAAAAGUAAAAAAAAAGUACCUACGGAAAUGUCCAAAUUCCAAAUAAAAAAAUGAGAGUAAAGGAUAUAUUUUACCCUGAAACGGAUAUCUUUGUAUCUUUUUUUCUUUUUGUUAUUUCUAACUCAUAUUUAUGAGAUAAUAAAAUAUGACAAAAGCUAUACCAAAAAUAGGUUCACGUAAGAAAGUGCGUAUUGGUUUGCGUAGGAAUGCCCGUUUUAGUUUACGGAAGAGUGCACGUAGAAUAACAAAAGGGGUUAUUCAUGUUCAAGCCAGUUUCAACAAUACCAUUAUAACCGUUACAGACCCACAAGGUCGGGUGGUUUUCUGGUCCUCUGCAGGUACUUGUGGAUUCAAAAGCUCACGAAAAGCAUCACCCUAUGCUGGUCAAAGAACAGCAGUAGAUGCUAUUCGUACAGUGGGUUUGCAACGAGCAGAAGUUAUGGUAAAAGGUGCUGGUAGCGGAAGAGACGCCGCAUUACGAGCCAUUGCUAAAAGUGGUGUACGGUUAAGUUGUAUACGCGAUGUAACACCUAUGCCGCAUAAUGGAUGUCGACCUCCUAAAAAAAGACGUCUGUAAAAGAAUUAAACCGCUUUCAAGAGAAAUAAACGAUUCAAUGAUCAAAUAAUAAUACUAGUCCGUUAUGGUUCGAGAGGAGGUAACAGGAUCCACCCAAACACUAGAGUGGAAGUGUGUUGAAUCAAGAGUAGAUAGUAAGCGUCUUUAUUAUGGUCGUUUCAUUCUGUCCCCGCUUAGAAAAGGUCAAGCGGAUACUGUCGGUAUUGCCUUGCGAAGAGCUUUACUUGGAGAAAUAGAAGGAACGUGUAUCACACGCGCCAAAUUUGGGAAUGUGCCACACGAAUAUUCUACAAUAGUAGGUAUUGAAGAAUCCAUACAAGAAAUUUUACUAAAUUUGAAAGAAAUUGUAUUGAGAAGUAAUCUCUAUGGAGUUAGAGACGCAUCAAUUUGCGUCAAAGGUCCUAGAUACAUAACCGCUCAAGAUAUAAUCUUACCGCCUUCCGUAGAAAUCGUUGAUACGACACAACCUAUAGCUAACUUGAGAGAGCCGAUUGAUUUCUAUAUUGAGUUACAGAUCAAGAGAGAUCGCGGAUAUCAUACGGAACUCAGAAAGAACUCUCAAGAUGGAAGUUAUCCUAUAGAUGCUGUAUCCAUGCCUGUUCGAAAUGUGAAUUAUAGUAUUUUUUCUUGUGGGAAUGGAAAUGAAAAACAUGAGAUACUUUUUCUAGAAAUAUGGACGAAUGGAAGUUUAACUCCUAAAGAAGCGCUUUAUGAAGCUUCUCGUAAUUUGAUUGAUUUAUUUCUUCCUUUUCUACACGCAGAGGAAGAGGGCACUAGUUUCGAAGAAAAUAAAAACAGAUUUACUCCACCCCUUUUAACCUUUCAAAAAAGAUUCACUAAUCUAAAGAAAAACAAAAAAGGAAUUCCAUUGAAUUGUAUUUUUAUUGAUCAAUUAGAAUUGCCUUCUAGAACGUAUAAUUGUCUCAAAAGGGCCAAUAUACAUACACUAUUGGACCUUUUGAGUAAGACUGAAGAGGAUCUUAUGCGAAUUGAAAGUUUUCGUAUGGAAGAUGGAAAACUUAUAUGGGACACUCUCGAGAAGCAUCUCCCAAUUGAUUUACUUAAGAACAAGUUCUCGCUUUAAAUCCAUUGCAAUUUUUUCCUCUUUUUCUUUUUUUUUGAAUUAGAAUAAAAAGAAAAAAAAGCAAUUUUGCAUCUUUGGCACAAUCUAUAUUUUCGCGAAAUGGAUCAUAAUAAAAUGGAUUUUAGGUAUCUAGGGAAGAUUCACUUGGAAGUAACUAUUUCCUAGAUACCCAUGCAGGGGGCUUCGCGGUUGAAUGAAUCAACUCGAAAAAUCCCUAAAAAAGACCUAAAGUUAAGGAUUUAUCAAUGGGUAAUGUUGCUCCAAUACCUAACCAAAGAGCUACUGCAGUACCGAGUAAAAAAACGGUCGUAGCUACUGGGCGACGAAAUGGAUUUUGGAAUUUAUUGACAUUCUCUAGAAAGGGUACUGUCAAUAAGCCCGUUGGCACAGAAACCAUUAAGAGAACGCCCAAUAACUUAUUGGGUACUGUACGGAGUAUUUGAAAUACGGGAAAGAAGUACCACUCGGGUAAUAUUUCCAGAGGAGUUGCAAACGGAUCCGCCGGUUCACCAAUCAUUGACGGCUCGAGAACCGCUAAACCUACAUUACACGCAAUAGUACCUAGAAUUACUACUGGAAAAAUGUAUAAAAGAUCGUUGGGCCACGCGGGUUCCCCGUAAUAAUUAUGUCCCAUCCCUUUAGCUAAUUUUGCUCUUAAUACAGGAUCAUUUAAGUCAGGUUUCUUUGUUAUUGGGAUAGGUGAAUUCUUUAGGAUCCAUCCCCCAAAGGAACCGGACAUGAGAAUUUUUCAUCAUCCGGCUCGAGCAAGAAUGAAAGAAAUAAGACCGUGGAGAAUCCACAAUAGAAUAGGGUAUAUAAUGACUCAAUGACUCAAGGCAAGAAAAGCUUUAUCAGAUUAUCUUUUCCGAAGUUGCGCCUAUAACUACUCAUUGAAAAGAAUCCUAUUCUUAUGCGUAAAUGCUCAAUAUCCAAGUGGGCUUACAAAUUUGAUCAUGAUCAAUUGCUUUGUGGAUUGUCUCUUGAUUAGUUGGUGUUUAUCCCCUCAAUAUCGCAAGUUUCUUACAUCCAAACAAAGUAUUUACUUGUUACUAAUAAAAAAUCAAAAAGUUUAGCCUACGUUCUUCCUUAGAUCCCUUCUUUUACUCCGAUAGUAUUGCGGAUCGAAAUCGAUGCAAAGAAAAUGAAUGCAUUUCCAUACUAUAAUAAAAAGUAUGUGUAAUAAAUAUAGAAUUGGAUCAUAUCACAUGACUUAUUCCAUUUAUACUCUAUGGGAUCUUACGGAGCCUGCUCAUGGAUGACAUGGUUGGGGUAUGAUCAUAGAAAAUAUUCUCCUCGAGUGAACCAGCCUAUCCUUCCUAGAUAGGGGACUUACGUGUUGAUUGGAUGCGGAGACACCUUUGGUCGUGAAUUCUAAUGUGGCAGAUCCAAUUCUCUAUCUGCAUGGCCAAAUUAAUAAUUCAAGUCACACACUCCCAUAAUCCGCCUUAUUUUCUUUCGUAAAAUUAACUUCAACUAUAACUAUUUGUAUCAAAAUAGUUCGAAGUUGAAGAGAAGUAUCCAAAUGACAUGUCUUAUUGUAAAAUAAGAUAUGUUUGUAGCAAUGAAAUACCACAACCUACCCUAUAUGAUAUAUGAGAAUUAGAAUUCUCUAUGAUAUGCUUUCCCUAUAAAGGACCCGAAAUACCUUGCUUACGUAUCAUUGGAAAGUGCAUUAACAUAAAUACGGCAGUAAGCAGAGGUAGUACAAAGGUAUGUAAACUAUAAAAACGAGUCAAAGUGGAUUGGCCCACACUAGCACUUCCACGUAAUAAUUCCACUAAAGGGGAUCCUAUUACUGGAAUCGCGUCAGGUACACCUGUCACAAUUUUGACUGCCCAAUAACCAAUUUGAUCCCAAGGCAAAGAAUAACCAGUUACACCAAAUGAUGCAGUCAAUACAGCCAAAACCACACCUGUGACCCAAGUUAAUUCACGGGGUUUUUUAAAUCCACCUGUGAGAUACACACGAAAUACGUGCAGGAUCAUCAUUAGAACCAUCAUACUUGCUGACCAUCGAUGAACUGAUCGGAUUAACCAACCAAAGUUGGCCUCCGUCAUUAUAUAUUGAACGGAGGAAAAAGCCUCUGUAACGGUUGGUCGGUAGUAAAAAGUCAUAGCAAAACCGGUAGCGACUUGUACUAGAAAACAAGUAAGUGUAAUUCCCCCUAAACAAUAAAAUAUGUUUACAUGAGGAGGAACAUAUUUACUAGUUAUAUCAUCAGCAAUUGCCUGAAUCUCAAGACGUUCCUCAAACCAAUCAUAUACUUUAUUGAGAUAGGUAACUAGCCCGAUUCCCCCUCCGAGAACCGUAUAUGAAAAUUUCAUCUCGUACGGCUCAAGCAGAAACACACAAAUUUUCAACGGAUAUUAGAAAAAAAAGUUCAAAACUUCACCAGCCACGGUAUUCGAUCGAUUUGCCUUGAAGAUAUGAAAUAAGAAAAAUCCAGAAUUUCUUCUUUGUGAUGAUAAUGCCAAAAAAUCUCAAGUUGGCUCAUCUGUCUUUCUUUCCCGUAUGUUGAUCAUUAGAGGCCUCUUGACUUUUCUCUUCCCUAUUUUUUAUUUAUUUGAUUUUUUUACUUGUAAAAAAAUCAAAUAAAAAUUUAUAGUGGUUUUCUGAUAGAAAUUUUCUUGUUGCGAUCCUAUGAAUCAGUUCAAUUAAAACCUUAGAUUCAUACUAGAGCCACGAUGAUUGAGUCUCAAGCUAAACAAAAGGCAAGGGUUCUUCGAAUAAAAACCGCUUGAUGAUCAUUUAUUGAAAGAGAAAAAAAUUGUCUUUUGGGCAAACAAAAUUGGAAGGAAGAAAAUUUCUUUUUUUAUUAAGAACUACUUGAAUUUUUUUUUUCAGUCUGGUUGCGAGGUCUAAAUAGUGAGUAUGAAUCAUAGUUCCAUUUUUUUUCUUGAUCCACUCUAUGUAUUUCGUGUUCCAGAUACUAGAAUAAAUAAUAUCCGACGAAUUAGAAUCAUCUUGAUAGAGAUAACAGGCCCUUUCUAUGUAUUAUCAAUAGGAUCAAUUCUAACAAGUCACACACUCAUAUUCCAGAGAUACCGAAACAAAAAAAUCCACGGUCGAACUACCAGAAUGUCUAGAAAUGUGAAGCUUAAAGUAGAAAGGCUUUUUUUGGAUGGAAAAACUAUGACUUCAUAGUUUUUGUUAGUAGAAACCUAAUUCGUUAAAAUUCCGUCCAGUAAAACAGAAGAAUUAUAAAUUUCUAAAAUGAUAGAUAGGAAUAUCGCGAAUAAAGCCAUUGCGACCCCCAUAAAAGGAGUAGUCCCCCAACCCGGAGCUACUUUCCCAUAUUCCGAAUUCAAGGGUUUCAAUAAACUACCUGCGCCAGUCCGUUUUGGCUUAGGUCUAGAACUAUCUUCAACGGUUUGUGUAGCCAUAAAUUCUAUUUAAUCAUUGGUGUUGACUUUGUAUACUAUUCCGUUGUAGUUGUAAAUACACGAUCUUUUCCUAGAUCCAUUGUAAUCUUGAAAUUCUAUAAAAAUGGAAACAGCAACUUUAGUCGCCAUCUCCAUAUCUGGUUUACUUGUAAGCUUUACUGGGUAUGCCUUAUAUACCGCGUUUGGGCAACCCUCUCAACAAUUAAGAGAUCCAUUCGAAGAACAUGGGGACUAAUUGAAGUAAGAAGUCUCCCCUCUGGGGGACUUCUUACUUCAAUGAAAUUAUUUAUUUCCUUCAAUUAAAUUAUUUCAUUUUUUAGUCGGAACCUUAGGUGGUUCUCGGAAGAAGAUAGCGAAAAAAAUUAUCCCUAAAGUCGAAACUAAAAGGAACGUAUAAACCAAUGCUUCCAUAGAUUCGAUCCUGGUUUAUUUACAAUUAUAACUUCCACACCUAUUCACUUAUCAUUUGGGAGCAUUUCCCAUAUAAAAAAAGAAAAAGAGUCAAAGAAAGGACAGGAGAUGUUUCUCAUGUCAAAUCAAAAAAGAGAGGUGAAAGAUACCAUAGCAAUGUGGUAUCAGGCUGCCUGUCUCUUUGUAGUUGGAUCUCCAACUUUUUGGAAUGUUCCAAAUUCAACUUGAGCAUCCAAGUCUGGAUCAAUACCAGCAAAAACAUCUCGGAACAAGGUUCGAGCGCCAUGCCAAAUGUGUCCGAAAAAGAAGAGCAAAGCAAAGGUAGCAUGACCAAAAGUGAACCAACCCCUUGGACUGCUGCGAAAAACACCAUCUGAUUUCAAAGUAGCUCGAUCUAAUUCAAAAAUUUCCCCUAAUUGAGCACGCCGCGCAUAUUUUUUUACAGUAGCAGGAUCAGAAUAACUUACUCCAUUAAGUUCGCCACCAUAGAACUCCACCGUUACCCCUACUUGUUCAACACUAUAUUUGGAUUCUGCUCUUCUAAAAGGAACGUCCGCUCUCACAAUUCCCUCUUCAUCUACCAAAACUACCGGAAAUGUUUCAAAAAAAGUAGGCAUACGACGUACAAAAAGCUCGCGUCCUUCUUUAUCUCUAAAGACGGGAUGUCCUAACCAUCCAACAGCUAUUCCAUCCCCAUUGUCCAUUGAGCCUGCUCUGAAUAAUCCCCCCUUUGCCGGAUUAUUACCAAUAUAAUCAUAAAAGGCUAAUUUUUCGGGAAUUUUAGACCAAGCUUCUGACAAACUAAGAUUUUCGGCUAACCCAUCGCUAACUCUUCGAUAUAUUUCUUGCUGAAAGUAUCCCUGAUCCCACUGAUAACGAGUAGGCCCAAAUAAUUCGAUUGGGGUAGUUGCCGAUCCAUACCACAUAGUUCCGGCAACUACGAAAGCAGCAAAAAAAACAGCAGCGAUACUACUGGAAAGUACAGUUUCAAUAUUGCCCAUACGUAAUCCUUUGUAUAGACGUUGCGGCGGACGGACACUAAGAUGGAAUAGGCCCGCUAAUAUGCCCAAUGUACCCGCAGCAAUAUGAUGCGAAGCUAUUCCUCCCGGAACGAAAGGAUCAAAACCUUCUGCACCCCACGCAGGAUUUACAGCUUGUACUUUUCCAGUUAGUCCGUAAGGAUCGGACACCCAUAUCCCAGGGCCAUAUAAACCCGUUACAUGAAAUGCACCAAAGCCAAAACAAGCCACCCCUGCAAGAAAUAAAUGAAUUCCAAAGAUCUUGGGCAAAUCCAAAGAAGGUUUUCCCGUCCGCUCAUCACAGAAUAUUUCUAGGUCCCAAUAUACCCAAUGCCAGAUAGCUGCCAAGAAACACAAGCCAGAAAACACAAUAUGCGCACCUGCUACACCUUCAUAACUCCAAAUACCCGGAUUCGUUACAGUUCCUCCUGAAAUACUCCAACCACCCCACGAAUUGGUUAUUCCUAAACGAGUCAUGAAGGGGAUGACGAACAUACCUUGUCUCCACAUUGGAUCCAGAACAGGAUCAGAGGGAUCAAAAACCGCUAAUUCGUAUAAAGCCAUCGAGCCAGCCCAACCAGAAACUAGAGCUGUGUGCAUUAUAUGCACCGAAAGCAAUCGACCCGGAUCAUUCAAUACGACAGUAUGAACACGAUACCAAGGCAAACCCAUGGAAAUACCCCUUUAGCAAAGAAAAAUAGACACGAUGUCGCUUUAUUUUAUCGCAUUGGAAAAAACUAUCCCUAUGUACCUAACCCUUCCAGGGGAUUCUAUGUCAGAAAGCGUAAAUAUUUAUUUCAUUCCAUUAAAAAUAACAAGCCAAUUCUGUUUGUAAGAAGAAAGAGAAGCAGAUCUAUUCUAUACUCGAUAAGUGCCAAUAUGCAAUGGGUAGCUUGGGCUAUUUGGGAAAACUAAGAAUAGAUCCUUAAUCCCUCUUUGUUUAUCAUUCGAAUCACGGAUUCCUUUUUCUUUAUUCAAUCUGUCUUACCUUCCUUAUAUGUAUAAUCUUUCAAUCUAUGUAUUAAUAGAAUCUAUAGUAUUCUUAUAGAAUAAGAAAAAAAUGAAGAUAAUAAACUCUGGAUUCUUUCUUUCUCUUCCAUUCUUACGUUUCCAUAUUAAAGUGUAGUUUUCUUACUUAAAUUUAAUAAUAUUAAUCUAAUAUGCCCAUUGGUGUUCCAAAAGUACCUUACCGGAUUCCCGGAGAUGAAGAAGCGACUUGGGUUGACUUAUACAAUGUUAUGUAUCGAGAAAGGACACUUUUUUUAGGUCAAGAGAUUCGUUGCGAGAUCACGAAUCAUAUUACGGGUCUGAUGGUAUAUCUCAGUAUAGAAGAUGGAAUUAGCGAUAUUUUUUUGUUUAUAAACUCCCCUGGCGGGUGGCUAAUCUCAGGAAUGGCGAUUUUUGAUACGAUGCAAACGGUGACACCUGAUAUAUAUACAAUAUGCCUCGGAAUAGCCGCCUCCAUGGCCUCCUUCAUUCUGCUUGGAGGAGAACCCACCAAGCGUAUAGCAUUCCCUCACGCUAGGAUUAUGCUUCACCAACCUGCUAGUGCUUAUUAUCGGGCAAGGACACCAGAAUUUUUACUAGAAGUGGAAGAGUUACACAAAGUUCGCGAAAUGAUCACAAGGGUUUAUGCACUAAGAACAGGCAAGCCUUUUUGGGUUGUAUCCGAAGACAUGGAAAGGGAUGUUUUUAUGUCAGCAGACGAAGCCAAAGCUUAUGGACUUGUCGAUAUUGUAGGGGAUGAAAUGAUUGACGAGCACUGCGAUACUGAUCCAGUGUGGUUUCCAGAAAUGUUUAAGGAUUGGUAGUGGCUGGAUUUCUUGUAAAUUUAUUUCAAACCUAAAUUCGGAUUUUAUGCUAUUUUAUAGAAAAUAGAAAUACUUCAUGAUGAUGAAUCAUCAGGUUAAGAUCGAUCUAAACCAAUCCAUUUUUUCUAUAUACAUACGACAUGCCAACGGUUAAACAACUUAUUAGAAAUGCAAGACAGCCAAUACGAAAUGCUAGAAAAUCGGCCGCGCUUAAGGGAUGUCCUCAGCGUCGAGGAACAUGUGCUAGGGUGUAUGUGCGACUCGUUCAGAUCAUGAGUUCAAACAAAUAAGAAAAUUUUUGAAGUAUCCAUGAUCGGUACCAAUGAAUCGGAUAGAGCUUCUCUAUCCUAGAUUUCUAUGGUAUAUGGAAUUUAUGGUUUCCUUUGGUGCAAAUUCAAUCAUCUAGAUUGGAAUUGCAAGAAGCAAUUCCUCCAUUGGUAGCAAAUGGUUAUCCAUUAAGCGGAGGAAAUAGUAAUAAAAAGAAAAAGGUUUCUGCUCCUUUAUCUUAAAAGAACGGACUAAAGGGCCAGCUACUUAGUCAACUUUCAUAAUUAAAUACCGUCACUGUAUGAAUAACUCUUAUUGUGAAAAGAGCUAUUUACUCUAUAAUGGAUAGGUAGAGCCAAAGAAUGUGAACUAUACAAGUUCACAAUACCUUUUGAUGAAAUGAAAGAAAGGGCUCCGGUGUAUAGAGAGGGCCUCGCCGUUUAAAAGGGAACCAUAGAAACGAUGGAACCCACUGUUUUUUUAAUAUCGUUAGAAUUUGUUAUUUCUAUGCGAAAUAAGUGAAGAGAAUAGAAUAAAAAAUCGUGGUUGGGAAGGUUAUAGUAGCAAAAGCCAUUGGAAUUAAUAUUUUAUAUAUCGGAAUAAUUCGUUUUGUUAUUAAUGGGAAAAAAGAGGGUUAAAAAGAAGAGAAAUCAUUAGUUAUUCAUUAAGGUUAAUUUGAUUCAAUGACCAGAGUUCCGCGAGGAUAUAUAGCUCGAAGACGACGAACAAAAAUGCGUUCAUUUGCCUCAAACUUUAGAGGGGCUCAUUUAAGACUUAAUCGAAUGAUUACUCAACAAGUAAGAAGAGCUUUUGUUUCUUCUCAUCGAGAUAGAGGCAGGCAAAAGAGGGAUUUUCGUCGUUUGUGGAUCACUCGGAUAAACGCAGCAACACGGGUAUAUAACGUAUUCGAUAGUUAUAGUAAAUUAAUACACAAUCUGUACAAGAAGGAAUUGAUUCUUAAUCGUAAAAUGCUUGCACAAGUAGCUGUAUCAAAUCCAAAUAAUCUUUACACGAUUUCCAAUAAAAUAAAGACCAUCAAUUAAAGGGAUAAAAAAGUAAUAUACAGGAAUAAUUAAAAACGAAUUCCCGGAGAGGGAACUCCGGGAAGAUACAAUAAAUUAAGAUUAAGUGGUAGGAAUCAACGAGCAUGUUGCAAUAAAUAAAAAAACUAUUUCUUUUUUCCCAUUUUUCUUUCUUAUAACAAACACAAGAAUCAAAACUGGAUUACUUUCUUUAUAUAUGAGUCUGACCCUUUCGAAUAAAACAUCAACAAUCGGAACUUAAGUUUCGAUUGUUGUUUCUUAAAUUCUGGUUGGAGUUUCUUAAGUUUCGAUUGGAAUUGAACUUUUGUGUUAAUUGAGGAAUAUGUCUAUUUUUUCUGUGUCUAGGACCAGUAAUUAUUGAAAUUGACUGGGCUUGAAAUUGCUUCUCAUUCUCAUAGUUACGAAAUGGUAAGAAAGAUAAAAUACGAGCCUGUUUUAUAGCAAGAGUAAUUAAUCGUUGUUGUUUCAAGGUUAAUCUAUUUAUUCGUCUGGAUAAUAUUUUUCCUUGUUCACUAAUAAAUCGAUUAAUUAAACUCAUGUUUCUAUAAUCAAUUCGAUCCCCCGGGCCUAUUCGAGAACGCCUACGAAAAGGUUGUUUGGAUUUACGAAAAGGUUGUUUGAAUUUACGAAAAGGUUGCUUUGAUUUAUGAAAAGUUUGUUUGGAUUUACGAAAGGGUUGCUUAAAUUUAUGAAAAGGUUGUUUAGAUAUAUACAUGAUUUAUUCCUUAUUUAAAAAUUUGAAAAAAAAAAUGGAUUUCUUUAUUUUAUUAAUUUUGGAUCCAGAAGAAGUAGUCUUUCUUUGGUCCAUAUAUUAUUUAAUUCAUAUACUAUAUAUAAAAAUAAAAAUAUAAACCCUCUAUACAAUACAUAUGAAAUAAUAUCUACCUAAAAUCAGAUGAGUUGAUUUGUAUUUUGUGUUCCAUCUAUGUUCUAUAUAUUUAAUAAGAAGUUCUUACUCUUUCUGUUCUUUGGAAAAAUUGAACACACGAUGCUCCUAUUUCUUUAUUUCAUUAUGAGUCGUAUGCUUGCGACAAUAACGACAAAAUUUUCUUAAUUCUAAUUGUCCGGGUGUAUUGUGGCGAUUCUUUUGAGUACUAUAUCUAGAAAUCCCCGUCGAUUCCUUAUUGGUACCCUUUCGAACACAAUUAAUACAUUCCAAAAUAACUCGGAUUCUAACAUCUUUGCCCUUGGCCAUGAACCUCCUUUCCUUUUUGGAUCGACUUAACUUAAUUCUUAUACCUAUUCUUUUAUUCUUCUAUUUUGGAUCCAAAGAAGAAGAAUAAAAUCCAUAGAAGCUCCUAACUAAAAAUGCGAUUUCUAAAGAUUUUGUUGUAAUUCUUCGAAUUCUCUAACGAAUCCAAUAGAAUAAAAAAAUUUUGAAAUUCGUAAAUUAAGUAAUAAAAAAUAGAGAAAUAAUUAAAGAAUACAAUCCUUAUCCAUCUUUUCUUUCUUUUUGCUUCAUAUACUAAAAAAGAAUUCAAAAAGGGAAAAUUUUCGUCAUGUCAUGUCACGAAGAAUUCUAUCUCUCGCAUAGGAAUAACUAGAAUUAAACUCUCGCAUAGGAAUAACUAGAAUUAAAAAAAAGGGAAUGACAAAGCAUCUGGGAAUAAACGAUUGAUUUCUAUCAAUAAACCUGCUAAAGCCCCAAACCAUAGAGUACUUAGCACGGGUGCUACAGAGAGAUAUGUUUUUAUAUCCCGCAUUGAAAAUCCUCCUUCCGUAUUGGAAUACAUAUAUGAUCAGAUACUCUUGCCCAAGAUCCUUUGUAUUUCUUUUGUUUAGGCGAAAUUCCUAACUAAAAAAACAAAAUCAAUAUUCUAUAUAUAUAGAAUGAUUCAUAAUAGACGAGAUUUUCCUAUCCCUAAAAAAGAUGACCCCUUCUUCCUAUACAUUACUAAGGAAUAGGAAUCGUUCUUUUCUAGGUGAAAUUCGACUGGAUUUUAGAUGUAUACCCUUCCCUUCCUUGAUUAUAUGAGACCAAAAACAAGAAAUGACAAGAAAGUUCUAUAUAGAUAGAGAAAUAGAAGAAAAUUACGAUGUGGAAAACAAGAAAGGAAUUAUGUACAAUCCCCUUGUAGAACAAUUUGGAAAAGGGAUGUAGCGCAGCUUGGUAGCGCGUUUGUUUUGGGUACAAAAUGUCACAGGUUCAAAUCCUGUCAUCCCUACCUAUUAAUUCUCUCUUCUUUAUGGGCAGUAGUGGGGAGAUCAAUUAAAGUGGGUAUAACUUGAAUUUGUGGAUACUAUACGGACGUGAGACACGUUAGGAGUAGAAAAGGAUUUGCUUUUUGUUUUGAGAGCGCUCUUAGUUCAGUUUGGUAGAACGCGGGUCUCCAAAACCCGAUGUCGUAGGUUCAAAUCCUACAGAGCGUGAUUCCAUAUAUCUUAUGUCAAAACAGAGUAAAAUAACUUAAAAAAACAAAGUAGAAUUGCAAUUCCAAUUUGACCUCCUCCAGACCAGAGAAGAGAGGAGGUCAAUCAAAAAAGAAAUAUUACUCAAUCAAAGAUCCAACUGAUCCCCACGCCUGUAUUGCAAAUACGCAGUCACGAAUAAUCCCGCUAAAGUAAUAGGAAUUAGGCCUAAGACGAUUCCAAAUAGAAAAACUUCAAUCAUUUCGAUUUGUUCGAGGGGAUAAAAAAAAAAGAGGUACGAUCUAUCUCUAAAUAAUAGUCUAAAUUAUCCACGAAUCUCAAUGACCAAGAAAAGAAUUGAUAAUUAGUGUGGAAAAGAGUCUAGAAUACCAGGAAUCCAAAAGAAAGAUUAUUCUUUUCUGACUUAUUCAUUCAAUUCAUUUCAAAUAAGACGUAUCUUGUUCAAGCCAAUAAAUAGAGCUGGGGUUAUAGUUAAAGCAGCCAGUAGAAAACCGAAAUAACUAGUUAUAGUAAGCAUGAAGGGGUUAAAUUCCAUUUAUUUUUUUACUACACUACAUAUGUUGGUAAAGCACUUACCUAAGUUAUGGAAAAUUCAUAAUUCAUCGGUUAUUUUAGAUAAUACUAAAAAACAAGAUAGAGUGAGAUACAAAAGUGUAAAAGAAAAUCGAUUCAUCAGACGGGACAUGAGUCCCUAAUGCCGAAUCAAGAGAUUUGUUGUGGAAUUUGUCAGUAAAGUAAUAAUAUUAAAAACUAGAUCAUCUAACCCCAUUGAAAAAUAAAAUUGGGUUUUCGGGGAAAUUUUGGAAAAAAAGAUUAAUAAAGAAUUUAAUUUGAAAAAAGUUCUUUCUAUUUCGGAUUAUUUCUUUUUCAAUAGGAUGGAUUUCAUCCUUUUUUUGGAACAAACGGUCAAAUAUUCCCCUAUUCCUUCUUAUCAAAUAUUCCCCUAUUCCUUCUUAUUUUAACUCAUUGUAUUCCAUAUGGAAUAAGAGGAGAAGAAAAGCAUUCCACGACCCCCGAAGGGCCCCCUGAAAAAGGGAACUCUUCCUUGAAUUUACUUUUUUUUAUUUAUUUUUAUUCGUUUUUUGAACCCCAACCAAAGUUGAUUCGAAGUUACUUCAAUUAUCCUUUUCUUUUAAGUUCUUUUCGUAAAGUUCCAUGCUUGCAGUUUGGUCAAGAAAGUUAGACUUAAUCCAACAAACAAGACAAGGAUUGAUUACGAAUCUUGAUUCUUCAAAGAAUCUAUUCUGUUUCUUUCAUAACGGAUUAUCUACUAUUCGAUUUUCUAUUUAUUAGAUAUUAUUUUAUGCUAACCAAUUUCAUUCCUUAAAGGGAAAGGUUGGAUUCGAAUGAAACUUUUAUUUAACUAAAAAAAGGGAUAGAUUUUGCAUAUACUUAUCCUUGUAUUGCGUCAAUAUGAGAAUAUCCUUUCUAAAUUCUUUAUCUUAUUGAUCAUUAACUUAGGUUUUCCCAAGAUCUUGGCCGCUAUUAGAAAUGAAAUUAUUCUACUAUUCCGAAGACAAUGAAAAUAAGUAGGACUCCAAAAAUUGUGGGGUUCUAUUGCUGCCUUGAAUAACAUGUAAUUUCCCUAUAGACAAGGAACAAAGAAGAGAAAAAAGGAAUUCUGUUUCGGGACCAAGCAAAACUGGAUUGCUGUGCCAUAGGAAGGAUAGCUAUACUAAUUCGGUAUACUCAAAAUACACCUUUGGUACAAAAUUGACAAUCUCACAAGGAUGAAAUAUCAGUAAUUUUCUAUUUACUGGUCGAUCCCAUCUUUUACGGAAUCAAUUCCUUUUUUGAAUGUACAAAAAUUUGAGGAGCUCAGCAUGUCUGGAAGCACGGGAGAACGUUCUUUUGCUGAUAUUAUUACCAGUAUUCGAUAUUGGGUUAUUCAUAGCAUUACUAUACCUUCCCUAUUCAUUGCGGGUUGGUUAUUUGUCAGUACGGGUUUAGCUUAUGACGUGUUUGGAAGUCCUCGACCAAACGAGUAUUUCACGGAAAGCCGACAAGGAAUUCCAUUAAUAACCGACCGUUUUGAUUCUUUAGAACAACUAGAUGAAUUUAGUAGAUCCUUUUAGGAGGCCCCCAAUGACCAUAGAUCGAACCUAUCCUAUUUUUACAGUGCGAUGGCUGGCUGUUCACGGAUUAGCUGUACCCACGGUUUUUUUCUUGGGAUCAAUAUCAGCAAUGCAGUUCAUCCAACGAUAAACCAAAUUCCAACUAUAGAACUAUGACACAAUCAAACCCGAAUGAACAAAAUGUUGAAUUGAAUCGUACCAGUCUAUACUGGGGUUUAUUACUCAUUUUUGUACUUGCUGUUUUAUUUUCCAAUUAUUUCUUCAAUUGAGAGAAAGAAAGAGAGUAGUAAUAAUUCUCUUAUCCCAUUUGGAAGGAUACCAUCCUUAUAACUAUCCAUGACUGUUUUUGUCUCUAGCAUGACCACUUGAGAAAAUGUGGAGGAAAGUAGGGGAAAUGGCCGAUACUACUGGAAGAAUUCCUCUUUGGCUGAUAGGUACUGUAACUGGUAUUCUUGUGAUUGGUUUAAUAGGUGUUUUCUUUUACGGUUCGUAUUCUGGAUUGGGUUCAUCUCUAUAGUAAUCGGAGGAUCCAGAUUGUAAACAUGAAAAAGUAGGAGCUUAGCGGGUCCUUACCCCCCUUUAUCUGAUUAGAGCGGAAAGGGCCCGCAGAAUUCUUAUAACGCGAUUUUAUUCCAUAAUCUAGAAAUUGGUUACCUAAUUUCUAUUUGUAAAAAUAACAAAGAGAAAACCUUUGCUCUGAUGGUUAGAAUCCCUCUAUUUAUUCUUUUGUUUGUUAAUGAUGUUAGUGAAGCAAUCCAUCGGUCCAUUUAAAGCCCUCGCCUUUCACCCAUAAAAUGGAUUCACUCUUAUGAAGCAACAAGAAAGAGGGGAGAGGAUCCAGUAUUUUAUUCCAUGAAGGAAGUAUCCUGCAAAUCAUUGAUUUAGUUUCGAGUAAUAAACUAAUAAAACCUUAAUCAAAACUACUCAACUAGCCUAAACCACCCUUAAAUGGGAGGGUAUACAUUUUUUUUUACCAAAUUUCUGUAAGUUCGAAGUUGAACUUAAUUGAAAAAGUCAAGCAAUUCCAUUUGCUCAAAAUAAAUUUGUCCCCCGCCAUACUUUCUUUCCCUCUGUUUGUCCACUACCGCGCCCGAACCUAAACAAAGGAAGUCCAAAAGAUAGACCCGAAUAAAGAAUAACUAGUAAUCUUUGACAAAACAAAUAAGAAGAAAAAUGAUUCUUACUUCGAUACAAGAAAAGAAGAAUCGACACAAGAAAAAGGCAAAAAAGCCUUUUUCUUGUGCCCAAUAGAGGAUUAAGAAGACCCGCAAUUCCUCCUAAAAGGACUUGUUCCUUUUAUUGUUCUCGCCUCUGCCUUGGAUCCUCUUCUUUUGCAUGAGAUAGAAAUAAGGAAUUCCAGAAAUCGAGGCUUUUUUCUAACUUGAUGGUAAGAAAUCCCAGGAUCUAGAAAUUCAUUUCGUACAAUUGAACCUUUUCAAACUGUUUCUUUUUGAGAACCAAAAAAACUUGUGCCAAAAUAACAGAUGCGAAGAAGAACAAAAGGCCUUGGACGCGCAAUGGAUCCUGAAGCACUAUUUCUGCAUCCCCCUGACCAAACCCUCCGACAUUAGGAUUGCUUGUUAAUGGUUGAUCAAGCUUGAUCGAUUCCCCCUCUGAAACUAGAAGUUCUGGCCCGGGAGGUAUAAUAUCAAUCACUUGGCGUCCAUCCGACGCAUCGACUAUGGAUAUUUCAUAUCCCCCCUUUUCUUUACGUAGUAUUUUUUUUACUAUACCUGUUGACGUAGCAUUAUAGACCGUAUUGUUACUCUUGCUACCAUCAGGAUAGAUCUGUCCCCUUCCUCGGUUUCCCCCUACAUAUAUGGGAUAUUUUAAGAAAUGAACGUCUUUUUUCGUAGCAGGAUCGGGGGAAAGAAUAGGAAAGACAAUUUCACUAUAUUUCUUACCGGGAACAGGGCCUAUCACAAGAAUAUUUUUUUUAUUGGGACGAUAACUCUAAAAAGAGAGAUUUCCUAUCUUUUCUUUCAACUCAGGAGAAAUACGGUCAGGCGGCGCUAAUUCGAAUCCCUCGGGCAAAAUAAGAACAGCACCCACAUUCAACCCUCCCUUUUUACCAUUAGCAAGAACUUGUUUCAGCUGCAUAUCAUAAGGGAUUCGAAGAACUGCUUCAAAUACAGUAUCAGGAAGCACUGCUUGGGGAACCUCAAUAUCCACGGGCUUAUUAGCUAAAUGGCAAUUGGCACAUACAAUUCGUCCAGUUGCUUCCCGUGGGUUUUCAUAACCCUGCUGCGCAAAAAUGGGAUAUGCAUUUGAAAUAGAUGUGCGAGUUAUUACGUAUAUCAUGAUCGAUACGGAAAUCGAUCGAAUCAUCUGUUCCUUUAACCAAGAAAAAGUAUUUCUAUUUUCCAUGUCCAAUCGCGGAUCCCGGAAUUUCUACAAUAAAUUAGAUAGGUAGCUAAGCUAAUCUAGUUCCCUAUACACGAGUCUGUUGUCAUUCUACUGCAACAGUUGUACUGGAAUGAUGAAUACCUUGAGCAGGUAGAAAUAGAAAGAAUUUUGCUAAAAAGGAAAAGGCUUUCUUUCUAAAGGAAGAAAUAUGCUAAUUUGAUUAAUAUUAGGAAAAAUAUUAGGAAAUCAAAUGAGUGAGUUUAUGCUUCACUAAUCGAAUGAUAAAUGACUACAAGUGAAGGAGAUAGACGGUUUAAACAAAAAAAGACCCAAAAUUUCAAACACGUGUCUAGAAUAACAGGAAAACUACAAACAAAAAUAGUGAAAAUUAGCUCGUUAGGAGCCCAUCCAAAAUUGUUGUAGACCCAACGAAUUAGUAGUUCCCAACCGCGGGUGGAGUGAAAUCCAACAAAAAAAUCAGUAACUAAAAGAAUAAAAAAAGCUUUUAUUGAGUCAUUUAAGUUAUAGAAAAAUUCCUGAACCCAAGAAUUCAAAAUGACAAGUUCUUCUUUACCCAGAAAAAAAGAACCACUUAGAAUAGCCAAACAGAUUAUAUUUGUUGAGAAAUGCAAAAUGGUAUGGAGAUGAUCCUCAUUAUCUAUUUUGGCCAAUUGUAUUAUUUCCUUGUGUAUUCCUAUAGGAGGUUUUUGUACAUGUGUCUUCGGUUUCUCUUUUAUCAUUUCGUCCAAGAGAAAAAGUUCUUCUAAUUCUAUGAAUCCUUCUAGAAUCCUUUUCUCUUGAAUAUCAGUUAAGAAAGUUUCGGAUUGCCUGGUAUUCCACCAAUUCUUAAUCCAAAGUUCCAGGCAUUUGUUAAAAGAGAAAGAGAUUCCCCAGGGCAAAAGUACGAUAAAUACAAGAUAUAGGAAAGAAGGCAAUGCUUUCUUUUUUUUCAUUUUUGAUCUGUAAAUUGAGUUGUUAAUGAAUCCGCUUCAUUCGCCGACUCUAUUUCAUUCGCUGAAUAUAUAUGAUAUUUCUUUUCUUUGAAACACAAAUUCUAUAACAAGGUUUGAGACCUUGUGUUUGUAUCUAUUUAUCUUUUUGUAUACUAGUGGAAUUUCAUUGUAUUGGGUUCUUUCUUAGAUCUAAAUGGAGUGGAAUAGAGAAAUAAAAAAAAGGCCUUUCAUAUAAAAAUGGAAGAAUAUUAUGCCAUAUAUCUCACUUGGAUAAAACAAAUUAGAAGCAAUUUUCUCUUAUUCUCGUUUGUUCCUUCCUUUAGAUAAAUACUCGAAAAUCCCUUACAAUUGCAAAAAAUUGCAAUUGGUACUCAAAAUACUUCAAUUGGUACACGCAAGAAAUAGGCCAAUUCGGCAGCUUUUUGUUCAAUUUCUCGUGGAGUAAAAAACUUCUCAUCAGUACGAGUCAAGGGAAUGACCCCCUGGCCCCGGAUUUCCAUAUAAAGGAUACGACGAGGAUAAAGACCCUCUUUAACCUGAAUCCUAAUUGAUUGGAUAUCCCGCACAAGGAAUCGAAGGAAGAUGCGACGUUUUAUUCCAGGGAAUCCCCAACGAAAAAUGCACACUAUUCCCUCUUUUCUAUCGAAUCGGUCAUAACCACUGCCUACAUUCCACAAAAUAGUGCACCACAAAUAGGAGCUAAUGAAUAGGCCCGCGAUUCCGUAGAAAGACAUCACGACCCCCUGUGGAAAAAAAAGAAUUUGUUGAGAUGGAAGUACGGAUAUCAUAUUCUUACCAAGAUAACUGGAAGCCCCAACCGCUAAGAAUCCUAAUGAACCUAGAAAAAGAAUACAGGCCCAGAAAAAAUUACCUCUUUUUCGAGAACCUUUUAGAAGUUCUAUCCAUAUGUGUUCUGAUCGCCAAUUCAUAUUAGAUAUACUAAAUCCAGUAGCGGUCAAUUGAAAUUGAGAGAAUAAGCUAAAUGAUUUUGACUUUACUUUUUUUGAUUCUGAAAUAACCUUCAGUAGCUAGUACUCCUGUGAAAUAAUUGGUUAGAUACAUUGACUUUCUAUUCAAAAAGAAUUCGUGGAUCCACUUAAAAAAAACUCGCUAUACUCGGCUACGCAUAUGCAUGAAUUUAUGCUCGUAGCCUAUAUCUGCAUCCAUAGACGUUUUUCAUUUGUGUGUAGAAAGAGCUACAUACCCUAUCAUAUUAUAUUACUUACACAAAAAAAUAUCUGUAUUAUGAUCCUGGAAAUACAUUAAGAAAAUUGGGCCCCGUCGUUUCUAGACAAUCUUAUUUUUCUGCACAUAAAGAAAUAAGGAAGCCAUUGCAAUUGCUGGAAAUACUAAGCCUACUAAAGGCACGAAAAUAGAGGGUAAGUUAAAAUCUGUCAUAGAAUAUGUGUCUCAAUUCAAAUUUACUAUUUCUAUCUAUUCGAAAUAUAUCUUAAGAUUCUUAUGAUAUAAUUAAGUAUAUCUAUUAUAAGGAAUAUUGACUAUUGUAUUUUUUAGUUUACAAAAUAAAGAUUUUGUAUAGAAUACUAUUUUUUUUAGAAUACUAAAGUAUUCUAUAUCUAUAAAAAAAAAUGAAUGGAAUAGAUAAUAAGAAAAUUGCAAAAAAGGGGAACUAAUUAAAAAUAUUUGAUUUUUCUUUUCCCAUUCUCAUCACCUUUCUAUCCUUCUAAUCGAACUUGAAAUUGGAGUCAAAAGAAAACUAUUGUGAAAAUAAAAGAAAUACCUCUUUCAGAAUACCCUUUAAUUUCACUUUAAUUUAAAAAGUAGAAGUGGAAUAGAAUACCCGGUUGAAGGGUAAUGAUCAUACGUCUGUAAUGCAUUGUAUGUCCCAGAAUAGGUCCCAUUCUUCUACCCUUUCCGGGUAGUCGAUGGCUAUUCACAGCUACUACCUUAACACCAAAGAAGAGUUCGACCCAAUGCUUUAUUUCUGUCUUAGUGAAUCCCGAUUCGACAUUACAAGUAUAUUGAUUCUUUCCCAAUAAACGAAGACUCUUUUCUGUAAAUACUGCGUAUUUGAUUCCAUUAUCGUAUGAUAAUACUAUAUUUUGAUUUCUAUUUGUUUAUUGUAUUAUACCUUUAUAUAUUCUAGAUAUAUAGAAUAGAAGAAUCUCGAUUUGUCAAGUCUCAUGAUCGUAUCAUGAUCUAUUUAAAUUCGGCUCAAUCUUUUUAGAAAAGAUUGAGCCGAAUUUAAUUGCAAUCAAUUAGAAAAAUAAAGAAGAAUUACUGCAUUUCGUAACUGAUUUUUUCUCUUUCUAUAGGGUAUCCAUCGCUUCGAACUCAAAUUUGAUCUCCUUCCAUACUUCACAAGCUGCGGCUAGUUCAGGACUCCAUUUGCAAGCUGCUUUGAUAAUUUCAUUACCUUCACGAGCAAGAUCGCGCCCUUCGUUACGGGCUUGUACACAGGCUUCUAAAGCCACACGAUUAGCUGCUGCACCAGGUGCAUUUCCCCAAGGAUGUCCUAAAGUUCCUCCACCAAAUUGUAAUACAGAAUCGUCUCCAAAGAUUUCGGUCAGAGCUGGCAUAUGCCAAACAUGAAUACCCCCUGAAGCCACCGGUAUAACACCUGGCAUGGAUACCCAGUCCUGAGUGAAAAAGAUACCGCGAGAACGAUCUUUUUCAAUAAAAUCAUCGCGCAAUAAAUCAACAAAACCUAAAGUUAUUUCGCGUUCCCCUUCUAACUUACCUACUACUGUACCGGAGUGGAUAUGAUCUCCCCCCGACAUACGCAAUGCUUUAGCUAAUACACGGAAAUGCAUACCAUGAUUUUUCUGUCUAUCAAUAACUGCAUGCAUUGCUCGGUGAAUGUGAAGAAGUAGGCCGUUGUCGCGGCAAUAAUAAGACAAACUAGUAUUUGCGGUGAAUCCUCCAGUUAAGUAGUCAUGCAUUACAAUAGGAACCCCUAAUUCCCUUGCAAAUGCAGCUCUCUUAAUCAUUUCUUCGCAUGUACCUGCAGUCGCAUUCAAGUAAUGCCCCUUAAUUUCACCAGUUUCUGCUUGUGCUUUAUAAAUUGCUUCAGCACAAAAGACAAAACGGUCUCUCCAGCGCAUAAAUGGUUGUGAGUUUACGUUUUCAUCAUCUUUGGUAAAAUCAAGUCCACCGCGUAGACACUCAUAACACGCUCUACCGUAAUUUUUUGCGGAUAAUCCCAAUUUUGGUUUAAUAGUACAUCCCAAUAAAGGACGACCAUACUUGUUCAACUUAUCCCUUUCAACUUGGAUACCGUGAGGCGGACCUUGGAAAGUUUUUGAAUAAGCAGUGGGAAUUCGUAGAUCCUCCAAACGUAGAGCGCGUAGGGCUUUGAAACCAAACACGUUACCCACAAUGGAAGUAAACAUGUUAGUAACAGAACCCUCUUCAAAUAGGUCUAAUGGAUAAGCUAUAUAACAGAUAUAUUGAUCUGCCUCCCCAGGAACGGGCUCGAUGUGAUAGCAUCGUCCUUUGUAACGAUCAAGACUGGUAAGUCCAUCAGUCCAAACAGUUGUCCAUGUACCAGUAGAAGAUUCCGCAGCUACUGCAGCCCCUGCUUCUUCAGGCGGAACCCCGGGCUGAGGAGUUACUCGGAAUGCUGCCAAGAUAUCAGUAUCCUUGGUUUCGUACUCCGGGGUGUAGUAAGUCAAUUUAUAAUCCUUAACACCAGCUGGUUCGCUGCUUCCCUAUACUGUUUUAGCACGGUUCGUCGCUCCCUCGCGUGAUGGUGCAGCUUUUUCAAGUCCUACACCACUGCAUGCGCAAGAGAUUCGGAUGAUUGUCGCUGAGCUAGUGCAUGCAUGCAAGAAAAGACAAACUUGCUGAUGUCACCCACGUGCAAAACCGUUUGCUUAAAAAAACUAUAAAUCUUAAACCGACCAUCAAAAUUAAAUUCCGAUUGCACCAUUAGAUUUCUAACAAUAAAAGCUCCACAACAAGAUCCCACGAGACUAUAUUUGGAUGAACUUUUUUUAUUCAUAUUUUUUAAUCAAGGUUACAUAUUUUCUCUGAGACAUAUACACGUAGAACAAAUUCUACAAACUUAUGGAACAAAACAAUCAUACGCAUCAAACAAAAAAUAUGAACACAAAAAAUACAAACGUAUAUCCUUAAAAUAAAUUAUACAAACUUACAAAACAAAUAUAACCAAUGCAUGCUUGAAAUGCAAUAGAGGACGAAAUUGAUGGCAUCACCCCACGUGCAAAGAAAGUUUGAAUCUAAACAAAUCUAUAGAACUCUACAUCUAAAUUAAAUUCCGAUUCCACUAAUAAGUUUCUUACAACAAGAUCUUCAAAAUAAGACCCACUUAGUAUAUUUGGAUAAAUAUUUUUAUUAACUUUUUUACCGAGUUGGAAUUUUUUCUCAAAUAUAUAUAUACCUAUAAAAAAAUUACGAACUCACAGAAUAAAAUAAUUACUAUUGGCGGUAGAAUAAUUAGUGCAGAUAAAUAACUAUUUUAUGCGAAUAGAAAAUUAAACAUGAAAAAAAAGGUAGAAUGCGAACAAAAAGAUUAUGCAUCACAAACAAAAGAUUAAGAAUGAUGAAUAAAAUAGUGGUAUACCACGAACAAAAAUAUUGAACAUCACGGGCAAUCGAUCGUACAUGGAAAAUAUAGAACAGAAACAUCACGAACAGAUAACUUAGUCUACAUCUUCAAACAACUUAGUCAUGAAAAACUUAAUUAUUUAGUCAUAAAAAAACACAUAGAUAGGAGAAUAUGAACAUAAAGUUAGAAGAUUCUUUAAGAUACGUGUAUACAGAACAAAAUAACUCACGGAACAAAAGAUCUAUAUACCUCGAACAAACAAAUAAUCCACGAGUCUCUCUAUAUAUAAUCCACAAAUAAUCUAGAUAUAUAAUCCAGUCUGUAUAGUUGAACAGUUCAGUCUUUAAAGCCAACAAAUAAUUUGACACACAAACAAAUAAUUAUACACAAAAGCAAUCAUAUAAUGAUAGCCAUACAAACUAUUUAUGCAUGGUCAUAAAAAAAGCAAUAAUAGAAAAGGAAAUAGGGAAAGGAAAAUGAAUCCAAUAGGAAAAAGAAAGAUAAAUUACGUAUAAGAAGAAAUAUAUAGAAGAGAAUAUGAAUUAACAUAUAAAAUAAAUUAUUAAUUAAUUAAGGUAAUAAAAAGGAAAACAAAACAAAAGGUGAAAAAAGAAAGAAAUAAGAAGGAAUAAGAAAAGGAAAUACGAUUUUAAAGAUAUGAUGAUAACAAGAAGAUAAAAUAAAAGAAAGUAAAAGGUGAAAUAAAAUAUAAUAAAAAUAUAAUGAAAAAAUAAAAAGGAAAAAAUGAUAAAUAGCAUACGUUAAGGAGUUUCUAUAAGAUGGUUAGAAAUAAAAUAGAAGAAGAAAAUAGGAAUGACGGAAUAUAGAAAGGAAAAGAGAAGAGAAAUGAAAAAAGCAAAAAGGACAAAGGUGUGACGUACGGUAGAAAAGUUAAAUCAACAAGUAAGAGAGAAAAUGAAGGAAAUAAAUGGAAAAUAAAAAUAGGCUAAAAAGGUUAAAAAACAAAAAAUAAAAAGAAUGUAGUAAUGGAAGGUAAAAGAAGAACGGAAGAAUUACGUACGGAUAUAAAAAAUGAAAAGAAUGAAAAAGCAAAAACGAAGAAAAGUAGAACGGAAGAAUUACGUACGGAUAGGAAAAAUGGAAAAGCAAAAUCGAAAAAAAAAAAGAAACAAAAGCCUUACGCACGUCAUCAGCUACAAAGCAGCUCAGCAGUAGCUGGAGUUGGGCCGGCACCAGCGUUUCAGGCUUUUGAGAGAGAAAGAUAGAAUCGAAAAGCCUAAGAAGACCCGCAUAAGCAACAGCUUUGAAUGUGAUACUGGGCCGAAUUCACGCCACCGGCCCACGCGAGAUACUUCAGGCGACAAAUAGUUUGCUGUCGCGUACAUAGUCGUGGCGCUUUUUCUCUGUCCGCCACCGAGUCCGCCACCGUGUUGCGUUCCUUGCCGAUGGAGGAAACCCUAGCCGCCGAAUCCGCCGCCGGCGAGACGCACGCCGCGGUGGAGACGGAGCGGAAGGAAGAGACGCUCGAGGAGGUGCUCGCCAGACACAGGUUAGUAGCACUCCUCCUUCCCCAUGCCUGCUGUGGAUUGGGGCGAUUCAGCUUGUGCCUUCUCGGCUAGAAUUCCGUCAAGUUAUGUAGGGUCGUGCGUCUCGCGAGAAGAAAAAGGGCUUGCUCCUUACUGUUUUUAUUGGGUUAAUAGGUAACUUAUGAGGAAAAGAUCGAUUCUUUUGCCGCGGUAGAUACUUGGGGGUUCUAAAUUAUAGGAUGACUGGUUCACUACUUCACUGGAUUUGGCCCACUCGUGCGGCUGUGGAUUUCCAGUAAUCCAAACAGUUGCAAAUUUUAUUUAUCUAGGAAGGUGGUCAUGUCUCUUCUUGGCCUAGAUGACUAGAAUUCCUCUUAGGACUGUAAGAAAGGAAGUUUCAUGGCGACAGUUAAACUGCAUCGCUAUAAAAGCUGUGUAUAUAGUGAUAUAUGCUUGCGAGUAGAUGUUAUGUUUACAUGCUGUUGUUCAAGUGAUUACAUACACAUGUAACCCGAGUUGGUUCACUGCGCAAUUUUAACUGAAAAAUGUGGUGCAGUAUGUGAGAAUUUAAAGCAUCUAGAAGAUAUCACAGCGGUUCAAACAAACUGAUAGCUCAGUGGUUGGGCACCCAGUUGUUGCCAGCCGACCAGGGCUCGAACCCUGGGUUGCGCAAAAAAGGUCCCCUGCUAUGCGCCUCAGUUGUUCAGCCAGGACGGCCCACCCUUAGCUAAUGCCGGCUUUCGGGACCUUUUCUCGACCUUUGAUGCGUAUUGUUUGAUUUUGGUUUUAAUAGGACGCAUGAGGAAAGGAUCGAUUUCCCCCAUGGCAGAUGCUUGGGAUUCUAAAAAUUGUAGUCUGUCUUGGUUUGCUAGAUUUGGCACCUCUUGUGCGGCUGUGGAUUUCCAGUAAUCCAAACAUUUGCAAAUUGAUAUAUUUAGGAAGUUGGAAGUUGGACAUGUUUCUUCUCGACCUAGAUGACUGGAAUUUCCCUCAGCGACGUAAAAAGGAAGUUUCAUGGUCACAGUUAAACUUCCUUGCUAUUAGAGUUGUGUAUAAUAUAUGGAUGCAAGUACAUGAUAUUUUUGGGUACUGUUUGCUUUGUGGCCUGGUUGUUCAGCCAGGAAGGCCACUCUUGGCUAAUGUUUGUUUUGGGACCUUUUCUCGACCCUUGAAAUUCCUUAAGGUAAAAUCAUGGGGACUAUCUCCGGUGGUUGAUUUUUGCUAUGAUUGCUGGUGAUGCUUGAUGCCCACAUUUUGCCCCCUGGUUUCAUAUGGAUAGGGUUCUGUUAGAUAUAAUGGUGUUAUUCUAUCUCUAGACUCUAGGUUCAUAUGCUGCAUGUCAUGUAACAAAGUGCCUUGCUGCUACAUGGCUGCAAAUUGGGAGUAUAGAAGUUCAUCUAUGCCAAACUUUACACCAGUGGUGUCUCAACAUUGCUUGCAUAAUGGGAAAGAAUAUCGAUUCCAUGAACAUUCCACUUUUGAGCCAAUCAGCCUAAAGGAAAAGGUGUUAUGAUAGUAAAGCACUUUGAUUAUUCAUGUUUCAUUCAUUAAAUUUAUGAAAAUCACAUCAAUUUGUUGAAGAAAAUAGAAUAUGCUGCAUGAAUCGCUUUAGGUUUGGAGUUUCAGAUCGUGUGAUGAUCUGAAGGACCUUUGGCUGAGAAUGUAGAUACGUCAAUAUUUUAGGUAUCAAAAUAUCAGUUUCAUAAGGAAGCUUUUAUACUGGAAAAAAGAUGGGACUGUCAGUGCAUGAAAUGUUUGCUUGCCUACUUAUCAAUGUUUGAAGCCUCAAGGUUCUGGUCAGUUUCUACAGAAGCAGAGUUUUCUGCCAGCUUACUGGUUAGGCAUAAUGUGUUUGAUUAUACAUCUUAUGUCUGUUCAUCUCAAACCCAACAAGAUUGUGACCUGCAAAGCUGUGGCUCUUUCAUAUUUGUGCUUGUGUUUUAUGGUGCAAAAUCAGUUGAGUAGCUGAGUAUGUCGAUGUUGGAACUUGCUGUUUUCUGUUUCUUACCUUUCAUCCUUGGAUGUUCAUUACCUAUUUAGGUUUCAGAAAUGGUGGGCUGCAACCUUUUCAAUAAUGUCACAACUCACAAGUUUAUUGACAAUGGGUUUCUGUUCAUUGUGUCUGAAACAGGAAAGAGAAAUCCAAACUCCAGGAUAAGGAAACAAGCCUGAAGAAAGCUGCUGCCAAAGGAAGCAAAGCUGAGCAGAAGGCAAGGAAAAAGCAGGUAGAAGAAGAGAUUACACGCCUGUCAGCUGAGUUAGAGGCGAAACAUGCUGCGGAGCUUGCCUCUUUUGGGUACAAACCCUCAGGCAGCUCAGAAAAGGGUAACCUUGACAACUUAGUGAAGGCCAUAGCUGGUGUUACCAUGUCCAGCAAUUCAGAGUCUGCAAAGCCCAGCAAGGGUGCAAAGCGGCGACAGAAGAAGGCAAAGGAGGAAGCUGCUCGAGAGCAACGGAUCCAAGAAGAACAAAGUAAUCUCGUCAGCGACCGCAUGCUGGAAAACGAUAAGCUCGAAAGUAAGCUUGAGCCCUUGGGGCUGACCGUCCAAGAAAUAAAGCCAGAUGGCCACUGCCUGUACCGUGCUGUAGAAAACCAGCUUUCGCUCCAUUCCAAUGGCACUGCACGGUACAGCUACCAGGACCUACGGCAAAUGACAGCCAAGUACAUGAGGGAACACGCAGCCGAUUUCCUCCCCUUCUUCUUAGCAGAAGGGAAGGCAGAGACUGGGUCGGAUCCCUCUGAGAGCUUCGAGAAGUACUGCCAGGAGAUCGAGUCCACUGCAGCGUGGGGUGGACAUCUCGAGCUUGGCGCGCUGACCCACUGCCUCAAGAAGCACAUCGUGGUCUACUCGGGCUCCUUCCCAGACGUGGAAAUGGGCCAAGAAUACAAAUCUGGAGGUAGUAGUGCUGGCGAUGCUAGCAUCAGGCUGUCCUUUCAUAGACAUGCCUACGGUCUCGGUGAGCACUACAACUCGGUGAUUCCGACCGAGUCAUCAUAACAAAAGGAAUUCAAUAGUCUCUAAUAUGUUUGACUGUUUACUGGCGCUGCCCGUUGGAGUUCAAACACAGUAGAUGACUUGUUUUCGGCCCCUCUUAACGUUUUUCCAUCUUCUCAUCGGUCGAUGAUGGUUGAGUGUGUACCAAUCCAAUCAAAGCUGUAUUCGGGAGGUUGCUUCCCAAACAAUUUUGCUCUCACCAGUAAUAUGUUUAAUCAGUGAUUUUUUUUCCAUCGGAUGUAGCUUGUUGCUGCUUUUGAGCGGAAUCCUAAAAAUUUGUAUUCCCUCCGUUCCACGUAAUGUAAGUUGUGUUUUGGUUUUUCUAGGUACGUAGAUUUUGUUACGUAUCUGGAUAUAACUCUCUCUAUAUAUAUAGAUGCAUAGUAAAAACUAAAAAUCAAAAACGACUUAUAAUAUAUUUUGGAAUGGAGGGUAAUAUAUUUUGGAACGGAGGGAGCAGUUCCUUUGCCUCUGCGGGCGUUCAUAAGAGUUGUUGCCUAAGCUUUUGCUGCUGUUGCCGUUGCUGAAAUUGGUUUGUAAGAUUUCUUUUGUACGGGUCAGUUGCAGUUUCCCGUCGUUCCGAUCGCUGAUAUACUGCAGUUGAGUUCGACGAUCGGCAAGGUAUAGUGCUCGCCCUCGCCGUCGCAGCCUUCUGGAUUGUCGUCGGUUUUGUUGGGUCAGCGCCGGCGCCGUAGCCACCGCCGCUCGUGGUCAGGUGGAAAGCUCUCUUCCCAUGGCUUCCGCUUCACCUCCAUGUUGCUGCACUUGGACGGCAGCGGGCUCGCCACCGGGCACCGGCACCACCCCGCCGCCGCGGGCUGACUGCGAGAAAUGUCUGGCUUCAUUUUCUGGGCCUCAGCAGUAAACUGGGCCGAGCUGCUGUAGCCUACGCUCCCGCGCGCCUCCGCCGGCUCGGAUCCAGCCGCUCGUUCACGACCCGACGGUUCCGAUGACCCCAGGGGUGGACGGUAAAUGAAAUACCGUCCACCCCCGAUUCCCCACCUCGCCGCGGGCACUGCCAUUCCCGCCGCCGUCCGCCGGCACGUGAGGGGUGCCGCCGUGCCGGGAGUGAGAGAACGGGGUCGUCCUGCCGCGCGGAACCCAAGCGCCUACGAACGUCCAUGGCUGGGAUUUUCCGCCCUCGACGCGCAGCGCACGGGUAGUGAAUGCCGGGGGCCUCGCCGCGCCGGCGCGUCGUCCUCGCCCACCGCGGCACCGCUAACACGGCCACCGCCGCCGCCUUUGCUUCCGCUGGGAAUUGUUUCAGAUCCGUCCGGUGGAAGUCUGAGUGUACCAAUCAAAGCUGUAUAAAUAAUCUUGCUGUUUCGUGGGUUCAAGCGCCGCCACUGUCCUCAUCGUCAUGGCUUGGAAUUUGGAUCCAAUGGGAAGUCCCAGCCGCGUGACCGCCGAUCUUCGUCGAGGCUUCCAGCCGACACCGUCGUAGUAUGCAGUCCUCGCCUUCGUAGCUUAUCUUGUCCAGUCGCACCGCCGUCCGCCGGCGCCUCUUGUCGACAGUAAACUGGUCGGUUGCUACCUUCCAUACCACACUGCCACACACUGUACGCACCAGAAAGCGCACGCCCCGUAACCCGUCGGUACCCGUACGCACGCGCACCUCAGGGGAUAUGAAAGGUGAAAAUCAGUGGCCGAUGAAGGCAUGGAGCUCAGCAACACCACCGUGCCUGCCGGCAGCAGUAUUGUGUCGCCUCGCCGUCCCGUCAGAAGCACAGCUCGUCAGCUCCUCCAUGGCCGCGCCGGCAUAUCCUCCCUCUCCUGCGGCCCGGUCAUACCGCCUUCAUUCUGCAGGGCCCUGCACGGCCGGCGCCGCGCGGGCGUCCACCUUUGCGCGGCGCGAUGACGACGGCGUCGCGUCGCCAGCGCGGCGAGACACGCCGCGCGACUGGGCAACUGAUUUUCCGGGCCUCGGCAUCGAACUGGGCCGAGUCGAUUAGGCCACAUAUCGGCCCACACGACGCUCGCGCUCGCCUCCGCCUGCUCGGAAUCUACCGAUCGUUCCCGAUCCGACGGUCUACGUGACCCCAGGGGUGAACGGUAAAUGAAAUACCGUCCACCCCCGGUCAGUGAACGAAGUACCGACCACGCGUGAAGUCCUCCCCUCGCGACGGCCGCCGCCCUUCCUGCUGCCGUCCGCCCUCCGCCGGCUUGCUGACCGUAGCUGGGGGUGAGAACGCGCGGUCAUGCCGCCGUGCUGACGGUUGCACUCCUCUGGUCGCAAGCCGCAUCGGGUCCUCCGGCUGGGCCUUGCCAGAGUUGCCAGCACACAGACUGUGGCGUGCCUGUAAAUGUUGAGGGGCCUCGCCGGUCGCUGCGCCGGCGCGUUCUCGUCGCCACCGCCGUUGCGGCGGAAAGUAAGACUCAAGGCCACAGCCGCCACCGCCGUUGCUGCGGAAAGUAAGACUCCAGGCCAGGCCACCGCCGUUUACACACAUGGUUGCUAGAGUUUCGGGCAAUCCUUGCCCCAAGUCCAAUCUUUGUUCUCCUUCUCUGAGACAAAAUUACUCUUAUUUGUUCACACACACGCGUACAAUCUUUGUUCACACCGUACUAACCGAUCGUUUCAACACACACGGUACAGUAAAACGCUCGUCACGGCUGCCACUCACGACAGAGACGACACAGGACGAUGCACGAACACGUGAAAAGUACCAUCGAUUACGGCAACUCGAUCGUCCCUUGAGAGACCUCAGAAGGACACCUCCUCCCUGGCCGCCAUGUCCUCCCUCUUCAGCAGCGGUGGCGCGGCGGUGGUUGCGGCGCCCGCCUCCAUCUUGCAGCACUUGCACGGCGGGCUCACCACCGGUGCAGCGCCGCUGCCCUUCCCCUGCCCGUCCGCCGCCUUGCGGGGGACGAUGACGGAGUUGAUCACCUCGUCGUCGGGGUGGUACACCGCAAGCACCUCGAACCCGCCGCGGCCGAUGUCCUCGGGGUCCACGACGGGGUACAGGAACCCGCGCGCCCCGUGCGCGCUCCGCACCACGAGCGCGGCGCCGGGGGCCAUGUGCCGGCCGAGGUGCGCCACCACCCUCGCCUUGUCCUCGGCCGCCAUGCCGACGAGCGCCGCCAGGAACACCACGUCGUACUCGGCGAGCUCCUCCGUGAGGUCGGCGACGUCGGCCGUGCGGAACGACAUGCGCUUCGACAGGUCGGCGUCGGCGCGGACAAGCUUCUUGGCGCGCUCGUUGGCGGCGGCGCACCGGUCGUAGUUGUCGAAGAGGGUGCCGGGGAGGUGGCGCGCGGCGAGGACCAGCGAGCUGAAGGGCAGUGGGCCGGACCCGACGAAGGCGACGCGGGCGGGGGCCAGGCCGGGCACGUAGCGGGCCAGGAGCUCGUACUCGAGCCGGCUCAGGUCGAGGUAGUUGCGGUAGUAGGGGAAGCGGGCGAGGUGGUCGAGCGGGUUGUCGAAGGCGGCGAGCGUGUCAGCGUAGUGGGCCUCCAGCUGGCCCUCGGCGUCGGAGCAGAGGCGGAUGAGCUCCUCCCGCAUCUUCUGCGCGUCGGGGCCGAGCCUCGACACGUCCACGGGGCUCGCCGGGACGCAGGCCGUGACGAGGGCGGUGAAGAGCGCGUCGACGGCCGGGGACGGGCUCAGCGACGGAAGCUUGGCGAUGGCGGCGUGGAGGCCCGAGAUCUUCUCCACCAGGGCGGCCACCUCGUGGUUCUGGGCCUCCAUGUCCGGUCGGUCGCUUGCGCAGUUGUUGUUGAGCUCGGGUUGGGGAGCUAGAAGCUCGCAAUGCGGUGCAGGUGAUCGGCGCCGGCCGGAUCGUGCGAGGCUGAUCGAAAUCGACUGAGCUGCUCGAUGGGCUCUGGAGUGCGCACGCUGGGUGUACAAAUACCCGGCGCCGGGACGCCCGACCGGCGGUUUGCAUGCGGCAUGGCCGGUGGCAGGUGGAGAAGACGACGAUGUCGACGCUUGAUGUUCGCGAAGCUGCGAAGACGAGCGUGCGGCAUGGCGUUCACUGCCGGCGGCCUGUUUCAUGCUUCUAUUUUGGAGUAUGGUCCUACUAGUUCUUUUAAUGUAUUUCUAUUUUUGGAGGCAUAUACUCCUAAUGCUCCUUACAUGCGACGGGAUUUGAACUUGAUCAUUUCCAGAACGGCACAACUUGUAGUAACCAACGGUGCACGUCAAAUCUGUCGAUUGAUCAGGUGCGGAUCAACUCGGCAGAACGUUCUUGAGCCCAAAAGUUCUCACAAACUUAGGAAUCGUGGAGGCAACACAUCCGAAACUCUACCUUUCGCUGUAUGUAGAACACAAUUUUGCUAAGGCGAUGUUUAUUUACAAAAAUAUAUUAUUCAUCCUCAAAUCAAAUCAAAUAUAUAAGAAAACACUUCCCAACUUUCCUUCAAACUCUCGUGCGGGUGCGGCCCACGAAGGGGGUGUUUGGGAGAUAGGGGCUAAACUUUAGCCCUGUCACAUCGGAUGUUUGGAUGCUAAUUAAGAGGACUAGACAUGAGCUAAUUACAAAACUAAUAGCAGAACUCCUAGGCUAAAUCGCGAGACGAAUCUAUUAAGCCUAAUUAAUCCAUCAUUAGCGAAUGUUUACUGUAGCACCACAUUAUCAAAUCAUGAAGUAAUUAGGCUUAAUAGAUUCGUCUCGCGAUUUAGCCUAGGGGUUGUGCAAUUAUUUUGUAAUUAGCCUAUAUUUAAUAUUUCUAAUUAGUAUCAAAUAUCCGAUGUGACAGGGACAACCCCUUUCUCCCAAACAUCCCUUAAUGGCAUCCUGCAGCAUCGCAGCAUCAAUACAGACAGGACCCGUAGCCUCGACUUGUGAGGGAUCCUCGGCAGUCAAAUCCACCAUCGGCGCAAUCUCCGGGACUGUUUGCCGACGGUUCACCAACUCGGUACUCGCCACAUCAGGAACGACAUCUUCUGCAGCUCUGGAUCAAACAAAAGACAAUCAAUCAAUUAUCGCCUAUGGUGCUCUAUGAACCAGCACAACAACACACGAUUACUUACCGGUCUGAUCGCGGAGGUCCUCGUACACGCUUCUUGACAAUAGGCGCCGGCUGCACACCUGCAGCUGGCUCGAUCGGGGCUACAGGAGGCAAAUCUUGAAUAUUCUCACCAAGACCUGAAAUAACUAAUGCUGAGACUACAUAUGCGUGACUACAAGCAAUGCUUGCGUACUCACCGCGAGCAUCGACUUCGGGCCUGUUCGCUUCAGCUUAUCAGCUAUCGAAUAGUAUUUUCCUCUCACAAUAAAUCAGCCGUUUCAGCUUUUCAGCCGGCUUAUAAGCUGAAGCGAACAUGCCCUUCAAUCAUUGUGACACCAGCAACAGCUUCUGGCAUCUUCACAACAUCAGCCAACUCCGCUGCUGCAGGGUCCAUUACUCUGGCACCUGCAACCCCAGCCUUGUCGACUACUUGGACGGUAGUCGGCUUAGGGGCUGCGGUCUCGGGGGCUGGUGGCUCAAUCUCCAUGGGUGCCUCAUUCACCGCGGUGCCCACGCCUGUGGCCGCAUCCUUGGCGAUUUUGACUACCUCGGCAGAAGUAGUCUCUCCAUCGUCAAACACCGCGGCAGAGGCCCUCUCAAUGCUCUCGUUAGCAUCAUCGAUGACCUGCAUAGGGUAACUAUAGUUCAGGACAAUUCAACUACCGGAUAUUACAUCACAAGUACCCAUACCUCGGAUCUUCGCACUUUCGCGGAAGUAAUCACUGAUGGGGUCGCUGCAUGCUCGAUAAGGGAUUUGUUUCGUACCGCAGUUCGGCGCCUCUUUGUCGGUGGAGCUGUAGCUUCAUCAUCAUCACCACUCCCAAUUUGCUCCUCAGCAUCACUAGGCGCAAUCCUGUAUCCCUUCAACACUCAGGACUACACAGGUAAACUGACCAAUUAAAGUCAGGAACAAGUAUUAGUCGGCAGCAACGACUACUAGCAGUCAUGGGUACUCGAAAUAAAAGCUUGAGUAGGGCAACUUACCUCUCUGGGUUCAUACCAAUUGUCAAACUUGUUGAUGGACUCAUCGACUACUGGCACACCUUGAAAGUUCUUGAAUAAUUUAUCCAGCAGUGUCUCCACCGCAUCAUCAGAUAUAUCUCC